GAUUUCCAGAAUGUUAACAUUUCAAAGCCCUAAUAGUGGAGGCACCAGCUCAUUAUGCUGCAAAAAUGCUCUCUGCAAUAUUUAUUAAGGCUCUCAAAGGAGAUCAAAUAUUGCAUCCACUGAUAGAGGUGUCCAAGCCCCACCAUUAUUCAUUCUUUACAUUGAAUUUGCAGCAAUUACAUCUGCAAUAAAAUAGUUAAUCUGAGAAAUUUCCAAACACAAAAUAAUAAGAUCAUUUUAGCAAAAUAGAAUUAGGAAUUGAUAUCUUUAAAGAUACAAUUUUCAAACUUGACUAAUUACAAGCAUGUUUUAAGGCCACAAAAGUUCAACUAAAUAAUAAUACAUGACAACUAAACCAUAAUAUCAAUGGAACAUUUUAUUUUCUCUAUGCUAAAUUGCUAACUCUAUCAAUGGUUGACAUAAUAAUCAAGUGUUCUUGUCUAUGUUGUGCUUCAGUUUGAGUGAUAUUUUGUAAAAUAGUAUAAAGCAUAGGAAUAUACUACUGAUUUGUCUAUGCUAAUACAUGCACAGAGAGCAUAGAGAAGACAAGGAGUGUGGAAAUUCAAUGCUGAUGCAACCAUCGAUAAUGGGAGAAGAAUUGAAAAGAGAGAAAAAUUCCUUUCUUCAUGAGUCAUCUAAGAGAUAAUUUAUGGGCCAUGUGAAAUUUUAGGCCAAUUCAAGACUGGUCUCCUGUGGGCAUUAGGCCAAUCAUAAGCUUCUUUAGGAAGGUAAAAUCUGAGACAAAUAAUAUUUAAAUCAGACCUCAGUAUUUCCUAAAACUCUUAGAGUGUGAACUCAAAGUAAAAUGAUUAGUUUAGUACACAGUACGAGCAAUUGGUUAGAUAGAAAAUUUUUUGAACUUUCUGAUCUGAGCAUUUUGACAAACAUAUAAGAAGCAAAAAUAAAGAAGUGCCAAAGCAAAAUGAAAACAGAGCAUUUUGCAUGUAAGGUAAUAAAUUGAGAGUGAAGUUGAGGGAUUUCGGACCUAAAAUAACAUUCUGGAUGAAUUCACUCUUCACCAUCUUUGAUAUAAAUCUCUGGGAUAUGAGCAAUCUGGGGCCAGUCUUGACCUGUUUCCCUUCGACAUCUUUCUGCUAUUUGCUUACAAUCACGUAUAUCAAGCUCUGUAAGUGAGGUGAGGCUGCUUAUCCAGUGUGGUAAUGUUGCCAAACCAUAACAUUUUGUAAUUGAGAGACGUUGAAGAGUUGAAGCAUGUGCAAGCAGCUCACGUCUGAGAGAUUCCAUAUCAUGUAUGCCCUCCAUAUACAGAGACUCCAGUGACGAAUCAGUGACAAGCAUUAACUGCCGGAAUACCCUUUCUCUCACGUUACACAGUUUUAGUGUUUUAAGACAAGGUAAUGAAGACAAUUGCAUAGUUGUGAGCUCAGGGCAAUGAGAGAUGGUUAAACUAGAAAGAAGAGGAGACGAAGACAAUUUCAAGGAUGCCAAGUGACCACAAUCCUCAAUACAUAAUUGUGAAAGUGAUGGCAGUUCCAAGUAUGCCAAAUCACCACAAUGCAAGAUGGAUAAUUCUGAACGAGGAGAUGGAGGCAGUAGCAAGGACGUUAGCUUAGGGCAGUCAUAGAUCCAUAAGUGAGAAAGAAGAGAAGAAUGCAGUUCCAAGGAUGCCAACUUAUCACAGGAGCUGAUAUUAAAUUGUGAAAGAAGAGGAGAUGGAGGCACUAGUAAGGACGUGAGCUCACCACAACAGCUGAUAUUUAAACUAGAAAGAAGAGGAUAUGAAUGCAAAUUCAAGGAUGCCAAGUCAGAACAUUCGAAGAUAUGUAAACUAGAAAGAGGAGAAUCAAGAGAUAGAGGCAGUAGUAAGGAUGUCAGCUUAGGGCAACCGGAGAUCUCUAACUUAGAAAGAAGAGGAAAUGAAUGCAGUUCUAAGGAUGCCAACACUAUGCAGCCUUGGAUCUGUAAAUGUGAAAGACAAGGACAUGAAGUAGGUGGGUGUGUUGUGUCCCUCCUCCACAAUUCCUUCAACUUUGGCAUUUGAAUGAGAAAGAGGUUUUCAAGACAUGGGAAGAUUGGCCCUUCUGAUUGAUAGAUAUAUACUAUUAACCAUGCAUAAGCGUGAAUUUAAUAGUAUGUUAUUAUGAUGUCAUUCUAUAAACAAUUAUUUCUUUGUAUUUAAUUGGAGAUUUGCAUUAGAUAAAUUAAUCUUUCGGCAUAAUUUAAUAAUAAUUGUGUUAGUAUAUUUUAUAUAUAACUAACUGGACCAAGUAGAGAAUGGAUGUUUUGUACUGACUGUUAAAACAUAUUCUCUAGGACAUUAGAAAUAAGAUUUAUGUUUUUAAUCAUGAUUUAAUUAAUAUGAGCAAAUAUAAAAUAUCUUGUGUUUUGAUUCAUUAAAGAGUGAGUUUCAUUUAUUGGAGCGAUAAGACUCGAUGAGUUGGACAAAGACGCUUUAUGUUUGCGAUGUAUUAAAUAAUGAUUGAAUCCACGUCUCGGUAUAGAGAUUGAUGAUGCACUUUAAGUAAGCUUAUAAGGUUUCAUAGUAUAAACCCUGCAGGUGGAUUUUUAUCCGACACAUGAAUUAAGUUAAGCGACAAUCUUGAAGAUCUAUUGUUACUCAAAUAAAUUGUCAGUAAUUUGUUUGAUGUAAAUAGCAUCUGUAAUCUUAACGUGGGAAACAUAAAUUAUUAUGUAAUGGAAUUGUAAGAUUAAUAAGGAGUUCAAUCAUGAAUUUUUAGUGGUAUAAUUUGUGAUUAAUUAUAAUGAGAAUAUACUGGUCCUGUAUGAAUUCUUAUUAUAAUUAGUAGUCUUGUUAAUUUUAUUCCUGCGGUCCCUACUGUGCCUUAAUUGUUUGGACUAUACAUGAAUUAUGUGUUUUAAAUAAAUGAUAGAUUAGUUUUUAAUUAAAUUUUAUUUAAUUAAAAAUAGAUAAUCUAAUUUAUUUAAAAUGAGCAUUUUAAGGGAAAGAGAGUCACGCUUAUAUCUUUUUUCUUGAAGCAAAUUAUGUGCUUAAGAGUUUCUAAGAAAGUGGUCUUCUUCCCAUCGAAGAGAUAUAUAUUAGAAACAGAAAAAAGAGUUUCUAACAAAGUGGUCUUCUUCCCAUCGAAGAGAUAUAUAUUAGAAACAGAAAAGAGAGUGACGUACCCUAGCUAUUGUUUUUUCUGCCCACUCAGAAAUCAUAGUCCGGAAAAUUGAUAAGGUAAACAGCAGAAGAUUGUAGGAGAUUGUGGGCGUUUUCAGCAGAGAAAAAGGUCAGUCUUUUACAUAUGGUUUUGGCUUGCCUCCAUGCUUGUUUCAUCAUGAUUUGUUUCCGCUGCGUAAAUCAUGGUUUCUAUCAAUUGGUAUCAGAGCCUUGUCUGAAACUCGUUUGGAGGUAGCUAAACAUCUUUUAUAUAGAUUCUCAUAUUUACGAUGGAUUAUUUUUUUUUUUUUUCAUCUAUUGUAUGAUAUGGGUGUUUUACGAUUCAAAAUCACAAAAAGAUUGAUGCAUGUUUUUUGCUGUUAAAGAGAGAUUUUGAAUGACGAAAAUGGGUGUUUUAUAUUAUAAUAUUAUAUUGAUUGGCAUGAUGGGUGUUUUAUAUUAUAAUAUUAUAUUGCAUAUAAGGAUGUUAAUGACUGCCGUUUUCAUCAAAUGCUUCAAUUAUAAUAUUGUAUUGUUGAAUGCUUCUAAUUACCGCAAAUCAAGAGUGAUAAUGGCUGCAAUUUUUUUUAAUAAAAGUGCAUAGGUUCACUGCUGUUCAUCCGAAUGUCAUGCAUAAUUUCAUUUGUGAUUUUGGUGAUUUGCCAUGCGAGUUUCUGCAAUAAGAUUGUGCUGUUGUAGACUGCGCAAAAGACAUUAAUUAGAAUGCUACAUGGCUGAACAUUGGUGUUUAUUGCUGAUUUUUGUAAGGUUAUUUUUCUAUCGCAAAUCAGAACAUGCUUGCUGCAGUUUUGGUUUUGAUAACAUGAAUGUUUUAGUAAACCAGCAGCUCAUUUAUUUCCAUUAAUUUGUGAGUAUUUCAAGAGUUGCUAGUUGUGAUUACUUACAUUUUCUUCCUCAUUGGCAGAUGAUAUGUUUUGAUGUAAUCAUUGUAACUCUUCUAGUAUUGUCUAUAUUUAUUUAUCUCUCUAUCUGAGUAAAUUAAUUAGGGACAUAGACUAGAAGUUAUAAUUUCACAUUUAUAUUUAAGAGGCAUGUUUUCUCCCAUCGAGUGGUACAUGUUGAUCUUAUGUUGCUUUUAUAUGCAUAACAUAUGUUUAGUUUAAUUCUCCCAUUGAGAUUACUGUCCAUGGAUGUUAUGAUGCAUAUAUGAAUUUUGCUGUCAUUAUUGUUAUUAUGCAAUCUUGAUUUAAAUUCAGUUUUUGAUUAUUAUUGAAUUGCUGUAAUUUUAUUUUAUGCAUAAUCUUGUGACAGAAUGACAUCUUUCAAUCCCUUAGCCAAUAUCCUAACCCAAAACAAGCUUGAGGGUCCUAACUAUGUUGAUUGGAAAAGAAACUUGCACAUUUUGCUUACUGCAGAAGAAUAUAAGUUUGUGCUCAGUGAAGUGUGUCCUGAAAAACCCGGUGAAGGUGCCACUCAAGAUCAAAUUAAGGCUCACCAGAAAUGGGUUAAAGCUGAUGAGAUGGCGCGAUGUUACAUUUUGGCAUCUAUGUCAAAUGUUUUGCAACAUCAGCAUCAGAAAAUGGAUACAGCUUAUGACAUCUUAGAAAAUCUCAAGGAGAUGUUUGGAGACCAAACUAGUGCAGCAAGGCAGAACGCACUAAGGGAGAUCCUGACUUCUAAAAUGGAGGAAGGAACUCAAGUAAGAACUCAUGUUUUGAAGAUGAUGAGUCUUAUGAAUGACAUGGAGGUUCUAGGUGCUGAAGUUGACAAGGCUACUCAUAUUGAGAUGGUCUUGAACACUCUGCCUCCCAGUUUUCAGCAGUUUCGUUUGAACUAUAACAUGAAUAAAAUGGAUUUUACUCUGUCUAAACUGCUGAAUGAGCUGGUAGCUGCUGAGACUAUUAUUAAGCAAGGAGCUGCACCUGUUGUGCUUAACAUUGAGCGAGCUUCUUCAUCUGUCCAGAAAAAGGGUAAGAAAAAGAAAAAUGUUAAGCCGAACAACAAUGGUGCUGCUAAAGGUGUAAAUGGUGUUGUGAAAAAGCCGAAAGGUAAGUGUUUUCACUGCAAGCAACCUGGUCACUGGAAGCUACAAUGUCCGACAUGGCUAGCCAAGAAAAAGCAAGGUACAUCUCUUUUUCAUUUACUGGUUGUUGAAACUUGUUUAGCGGUGUUGACUGCACACCAAUGGUGUGUAGACUCAGGAGCCACUAAUCAUGUCUGCAAUUCAUUGCAGGGGUUUCAGGAAACACGCCAGCUAAGUAAAGGGGAAGUGAACAUUUUUCUGGGAGAUGGCACUGAAGUUGCAGUUUUAGCUGUAGGAAACAUUGCUUUGAAUUUUAAGAAUAAUAGAACAUUGAUUUUAAAGAAUGUCUUGUAUGUUCCUUCGAUUAGAAGGAAUUUGAUUUCAGUUUCUAGUUUGAGUAAGAAUGGAUAUUCUGUUUGUUUUAAUGAAUUUUAUGAUGGUUAUGUCAUUAUUAAAUUUAGAGAACAAAUGAUAUGUUCUGGCUCUUUAAUUGAUGGUUUAUAUAUUCUUAAAGUUACACCUGAAUUGCAACUUACUAAUUCUGAAGUAAAUAACUUUGAUAUUGUUGCUCCAUUGAAAAGAAAGCGUCCUAUUGAAUUGAGCUAUACUUAUCUUUGGCAUUUGAGACUUGGUCAUAUUAAUUUAGAUAGAAUUUCUCUGUUGGUUAAAGAUGGACCUUUGAGUUCAUUGAAAGUGGAGGCACUACCAACGUGUGAAUCCUGUCUAGAAGGAAAAAUGACUAAGAGACCUUUUCCCUUAAAGGGUAAUAGAGCCAACGAUGUUCUUGAAUUAAUCCAUUCUGAUUUGUGUGGUCCAAUGAGUGUCCAAGCUAGGGGUGGUUUUGAGUAUUUUGUGACAUUCACAGAUGAUUACUCAAGGUAUGGAUAUAUUUACUUAUUGCGCCGUAAGUCUGAGUGUUUUGAGAAAUUCAAAGCAUUCAAGGCAGAAACGGAGAAGCGACAUGGGAAAUAUAUCAAAACAUUACGGUCUGACCGUGGUGGAGAAUACAUCUCUAGGGAAUUCAUUAACUUUUUAUCAGAACAAGGGAUUACUUCACAGUUAUCUGCACCUGGUAUGCCACAACAGAAUGGUGUAGCAGAAAGAAGAAAUAGGACACUUAUGGAAAUGGUUAGAUCAAUGAUGAGUUAUUCAGAUUUGCCAAUUUCAUUCUGGGGACAUGCAAUUGAGACAGCAGCAUACAUUCUGAAUUUAGUUCCUUCUAAGUCAGUACCUAAGACUCCUACAGAACUGUGGACUGGACGUAAGCCCAGCUUGAAACAUGUUCGGAUGUGGGGUUGUCCAGCACAUGUGUUGAAAGGGAAAACAGAUAAGUUGGAAACAAAAACAGAAUUAUGUUUCUUUAUUGGAUAUCCUAGAGGAACGAAAGGUGGUUUAUUUUAUAGUCCUAAAGAUAAAAAGAUCAUUGUUAGCACCAAUGCACAUUAUCUUGAGGAAGACUAUAUUAGAAACCAUAUUCCCAAAAGCCAAUUAGCCUUAAAUGAGUUGAGAGGAGACACCAUACCAACUAGAAUUUUUCCAUCAGAACAUGAACCUGAACCAUUCAUGGUCGGAGCUGACAUUCCGUUACAUCAACGUAGUGGGAGAAAUGUUAGUGGACCGGAAUUUGAAACUUCUGACAUUUCAUUGCCUGUUGGUGAUGAAGAAAAUGUUGAAGCACCAGUACAUGUGCCGUUUGAAGAACAUAUUGAUGAAGUACAGGAUGUGGUCCCACCAGUCAUAGACUUGCUGGCCUUACAGCCACAGUAAGAUGAAGGUGUGGCUGAACAACCUAUAGUACUUCGUCGUAGUGGGAGAACAAGACGACCACUGGUUCGAUAUACACUCUUGGGAGAAGCAUUUGAUAGAAUCCCUGAAGAAGUGAAUACCGAACCAGUAUGUUACGACGAUGCACUACAAGAUAAAGAUGUUGAUAAGUGGCUGGUAGCUAUGAAAUCUAAGAUGGAGUCUAUGUACUCUAAUCAAGUCUGGGAACUUGUAGAACCACCUAAAGGGGUGAAACCCAUUGGAUGUAAGUGGAUCUAUAAGAAAAAAAGAGGUAUAGACGGAAAAGUGCAAACUUAUAAAGCUAGGCUUGUUGCGAAAGGGUAUACUCAGAAAGAAGGGAUCGAUUAUGAGGAAAAUUUUUCGCCAGUAGCCAUGCUUAAGUCUAUUAGAAUUCUCUUAUCCAUUGCAGCUUAUUUCGAUUAUGAAAUUUGGCAAAUGGAUGUCAAGACAGCUUUCUUAAAUGGAAGUCUUGAUGAAUGCAUCUAUAUGAAGCAACCAGAAGGUUUCAUAACAAAUGGGCAAGAACAUUUGCUAUGUAAAUUGAAUAGGUCCAUUUAUGGCCUUAAACAGGCAUCUAGAUCUUGGAAUACUUGUUUUGACCAGACGAUCAAGACUUUUGGUUUUGAUCAGUGUCAUGAUGAGUCUUGCGUGUAUAAGGAGUGGAAUGGUAAGAAGGUGGUGUUUUUGGUACUAUACGUGGAUGAUAUUCUACUUAUAGGAAAUUGUAUAGGUAUGUUGACUUCGGUCAAGGACUGGUUGUCUCAGCGUUUUGAUAUGAAGGACUUGGGAGAAGCUGCUCAUAUUCUUGGGAUCAAGCUUAUGCAAAAUCGCAAGAAAAGGAUGAUAGGCUUAUCCCAGGCACUUUAUAUUGAUACUAUUCUCAAUCGUUUCAACAUGCAGGGUUCAAAGAAGGGUUUUCUUCCUUUUAGACAUGGAAUCGCUCUAUCUAAGGAUCAGUCUCCUAAGACUCCUGAAGAGAUAGAAAGCAUGAAGGCAGUUCCUUAUGCUUCUGCAGUAGGAAGUCUCAUGUAUGCGAUGUUGUGUACUAGACCCGAUAUCUGUUUUGCUGUUGGCAUGGUAAGCAGAUUUCAGUCUAACCCGGGGAGAGAACAUUGGACUGCAGUUAAACAUAUAAUCAAGUACUUAAAAAGAACUAGAGAUUAUAUGUUAGUUUUCCAGUCAGAAAAUCUUGUGCCCAUAGGGUAUACAGAUUCAGAUUUUCAAUCUGAUCAGGACUCUCGUAAAUCUACCUCGGGAAAUGUUUUUGUCUUAGGAGGUGGAGCCAUUAGUUGGAGGAGUAUCAAAAAAACUUGUGUUGCUGACUCCACCAUGGAAGCUGAAUAUGUGGCAGCCUCUGAGGCAGCCAAGGAAGCUGUGUGGCUUAGAAACUUCCUUUUGGAUCUAGGUGUGGUUCCUUCGGUUCAAUCGCCUAUUACACUUUAUUGUGAUAAUAGCGGGGCGGUUGCAAACUCGAAAGAGCCACGGAGCCAUAAAAGGGCAAAACACAUAGAGCGUAAGUAUCACUUGAUACGAGACAUAGUUCAAAGGGGUGAUGUGGUGGUGAUGAAGAUUGCAUCGGAAAACAACCUAGCAGAUCCUUUUACAAAGAGCUUAUCGUCCACGACUUUUGAAAGACAUGUAGAAGGAAUGGGGGUUAAAGUAGCAGAUGCAUGGUUAUAAGUCUAAGUGGGAGAUUGAUAGAGAUAUACUAUUAACCAUGCAUAAGCGUGAAUUUAAUAGUAUGUUAUUAUGAUGUCAUUCUAUAAACAAUUAUUUCUUUGUAUUUAAUUGGAGAUUUGCAUUAGAUAAAUUAAUCUUUCGGCAUAAUUUAAUAAUAAUUGUGUUAGUAUAUUUUAUAUAUAACUAACUGGACCAAGUAGAGAAUGGAUGUUUUGUACUGACUGUUAAAACAUAUUCUCUAGGACAUUAGAAAUAAGAUUUAUGUUUUUAAUCAUGAUUUAAUUAAUAUGAGCAAAUAUAAAAUAUCUUGUGUUUUGAUUCAUUAAAGAGUGAGUUUCAUUUAUUGGAGCGAUAAGACUCGAUGAGUUGGACAAAGACGCUUUAUGUUUGCGAUGUAUUAAAUAAUGAUUGAAUCCACGUCUCGGUAUAGAGAUUGAUGAUGCACUUUAAGUAAGCUUAUAAGGUUUCAUAGUAUAAACCCUGCAGGUGGAUUUUUAUCCGACACAUGAAUUAAGUUAAGCGAAAAUCUUGAAGAUCUAUUGUUACUCAAAUAAAUUGUCAGUAAUUUGUUUGAUGUAAAUAGCAUCUGUAAUCUUAACGUGGGAAACAUAAAUUAUUAUGUAAUGGAAUUGUAAGAUUAAUAAGGAGUUCAAUCAUGAAUUUUUAGUGGUAUAAUUUGUGAUUAAUUAUAGUGAGAAUAUACUGGUCCUGUAUGAAUUCUUAUUAUAAUUAGUAGCCUUGUUAAUUUUAUUCCUGCGGUCCCUGCUGUGCCUUAAUUGUUUGGACUAUACAUGAAUUAUGUGUUUUAAAUAAAUGAUAGAUUAGUUUUUAAUUAAAUUUUAUUUAAUUAAAAAUAGAUAAUCUAAUUUAUUUAAAAUGAGCAUUUUAAGGGAAAGAGAGUCACGCUUAUAUCUUUUUUCUUGAAGCAAAUUAUGUGCUUAAGAGUUUCUAAGAAAGUGGUCUUCUUCCCAUCGAAGAGAUAUAUAUUAGAAACAAAAAAAAGAGUUUCUAACAAAGUGGUCUUCUUCCCAUCGAAGAGAUAUAUAUUAGAAACAGAAAAGAGAGUGACGUACCCUAGCUAUUGUUUUUUCUGCCCACUCAGAAAUCAUAGUCCGGAAAAUUGAUAAGGUAAACAGCAGAAGAUUGUAGGAGAUUGUGGGCGUUUUCAGCAGAGAAAAAGGUCAGUCUUUUACAUAUGGUUUUGGCUUGCCUCCAUGCUUGUUUCAUCAUGAUUUGUUUCCGCUGCGUAAAUCAUGGUUUCUAUCACUGAUGAACACCCCAAGUACUCCACCUCCGACAGAUCAACAAGCUGCAGGGACUUGAGUUGACUCAACACACCAUUCCUCAUCCAACUCGGAAACCCCAUACCUCCAUAACGUCCUAUUCUGAGCUCCUCCAGGCUUGGAGGUGGGUGUAGGCCUUCCAUCAGUUUCUCAGCAUCCCUGCCAGACUGAGCUGAUCGGUUCUCCCAUCCCAAGGCCAACAUCCGAAUGUAUUUUUUUUCCCUCAAAUUUGCUUUGUCGGAUUCGUCCACGGCAUCCCUCACAUUUUCGAGUUUUUGAAUCCUUAGCUUACCUUUGAGGUUGUUAAGCCCUUUCAAUUCACUCAAUCUACCAACCCCUCUCUCAUUUCCAACGACAAAUAGUGGUAGGCUUUGAAGCAAAGUCAACUUUCCUAUUCCACAUGGCAUACUCAAAUAGCCGUCAUACUCCCAGUGCCUAAGAUUGAUCAAUUGUCUCAUAUCUUUGGGCAUUUCUUUUAACACAUGACAUCCAAUAAGCUUCAAUGUUUGUAAAUUUUUUAACCUUGUAAUACUAUUUGGGAGUACCUCAAACUUAUUGUGGGAGAGAUCGAGAUAUCUUAGAUGACUCAAUUUACCUAGAGAUUUCGGUACCUCCUUUACUUUGAAUCCAUUUAAGCUCAACACACGUAAACACUUAAAACUCGAAAAAUAUAUAUUUGGAAUUGAAUCAUCUUUGUACCCAUGUAUUGGAAUGCUUAAAAAGGUCCUUAUGUGUUUUGCCCUUAAAGCCUUCAACUUAAGAUUCAUUGAAUUAAACAACGAUACAUGACGAACUUCUUUCGGGAUCUCCUUCACAUCAUCUUCUAAAAUAAGGACUUCAGAUUCUACAACUGACUGUGCAAGGUCAUGCAUGAGAUCAUGCAUUUUACAACUCAAUAUAUUAUUAAAAGCAUCAUUUCUAAACUUCUCCAACAAUGAUCUCGACAAUAAUUCCUCAAAAUAUUGAUGUCCUACAUUCUCAUCUAAAGGUUGAAUAUAACCCUGUGCCAUCCAUAAUUGCACCAACAUGUUUUUCUCAAUUUUGUAAUCUUUUAGAAAUAACGCACAAUAAGUAAAACAUUGCUUCAAAUAGAUUGGCAAAUCAUUGUAGCUUAACUUCAACACCGAUAAAACAUUAUCAUUUCCAGCUCCUAGUGAUAGCAAAUUUCUAUUAUUUUUUAUGGACAGCCAAUGACUUUCCUCUGUUUUCAGGCGCAACAUUGCUCCCAGUGUUUUGAUGACAAGCGGAACUCCGUUACACAUAUUUACAAUUUCUUUUCCCAUUUCCACCAACUUUGGAUGCACUUUCUCUGGUUCUUCUGCGAAUGCUAUUUUUGAAAAUAAAUCCCAAGCCAGGCUGUCUUUCAACCCUUCCAAAAAAAAGGGAGAAUUAAUUCCCAUUAUUGAUGCGACCUUACUAUGUCGGGUGGUCACCAAAAUUUUACUCCCCUUUCCAACAACCAUCAACAAACUUUUCAAUUGAUCCCAUUUUUCAGGAUUUUCAUUCCAAACAUCGUCCAGGACUAGCAAGCAUCUCUUUUGACUAAUCUUUUUAUGAAGGAGAUUUUUUAAACCAUUCAACUCCAACCAUUCUACAUCUUGCUCACACACUUCUUUUAAGAAUUUUUUAACCAAUGACUUCACAUCAAAAUGAUCAGAAACACAAACCCAUAUUCUAGGCUCAAAAUAUUGCACCACUUUCUCAUCAUUGUACACCAACUGGGCAAGGGUGGUCUUACCCAACCCCCCAAUCCCAACAAUGGCAACCAUGGAAAGAAUUUCUUGAUUAUCAGAUGACACCAACGACUUUAUUAUCUCCUCCUUGUUUUCUUCUCUUCCCACAAUUUCAGAGGUCAACACAAAUGAGUGAGUCUCUCUCCAACUACUCUCUACCUCCCUCUGAACUAUGUUCCCUUGAACAAGUUUUAAUAGAUUGAUUUCUUUUACAAUUUCAUCAACCUCUUCUUUGAUAUUCUUGACCUUACUACUCAUCUUAAAACGAAAUACGAGCUGAUUCGAAGAUGAGAAGAAGUCACUGACCUGCCUUGCUACUCCCCCACGCUGCAGCUGAUGGGUUGCAAAGUCAUCCAACAAGUCAUCAGCAUCAUACACAACAUCUUUGAGCCUCCUCACCCAUGCUUUUACUGCAUCGCUCUCCUCCUGCCUCUUCUCAGCAUCAACCAGUACACCUUUGAUGGUGGUCAGUUUCUUCGUAAGCUUCGUCAACUCCUUUGCCACACCAAACGCAGAUCCAAUUUGUUGAAUAGACGAGGAGCCUAACUUGGUUAAAACGUCAGCUAUAAUAUUGAAUAGGAUUUGUUCAGCCAUUUUUUGAAGAACUCAAACUGCAGAACGCUAACAAAGUAUGGUAAGAGAAGGAGAAGUUGAGGGAAUUGUGAGAGAAUACCAGACAGACUAGUGAGAGGAUAAUAGAAGUCACAUGCAGUGGGCCUAAUAUGAUAUACUUCGAUUAGUCAAAAAGCAGUGUGAACUCAUCAUAUGGUUGAUAUUGACAUAGGACACUGCCAAUCAACUUUUCUCUGGACAAAUCUUUGGAUGAUUUAAUAAUUUGUAUUAGAUGAAAAGAUUAUUGUUAACAUUUUCCAAUUUUUAAAAUCUAAAUUUUUUUAGAAUGAAUCAAACUAUUAAUUCUUUCUUUGAUACUUAAAGUUGGAGGGGUUUAAAUUCUAUACUUUCUCCUUAUUAAUUAAAUAUAUCUAUAUGAAGACGACAAAAACGGGAGUAGAGAUUAGGCUAUUUUUUGUGGGCCUAACUUAUGUACAUGGGAUGUAAACAUAUUUAUGAGUAAUUUUUAGAUUAUGUUCCGUUUUCAAAAUUAUAAAAAAAAAGAAAAAAGAAUGCCAAGAAAAAUGAUUUUUUUUUAAUUGUAUUAUAAAAAUAUAAAACAAAAUAAAACAUAAUUAAAGUUAAUUAUAAAUUCAUGUAUUUUUUAAUUAUUUAAUAUUUAUAUAAAAAAAUUAAAAUAAAUGAAAUGAAUCUGAAAUAACGUAUAAAAAUAAUUUAUUAAUUUUUUUUUAUUUUUCAUAUUUUAUUUCUUCUUAUCUUUUUUUCUUUAUUUUUCUUCCUUUACAUUUUUUUCUCAAAUCUAAAUAUAACCUAAAUAUUAGAUGAUAUUAUUUAGAUAACAUUAAUAAUGGGUUUCUUUGUAAUUUUAUGAAUAUUAAAUUUAACCUUCUAAAAAAUGAUUUUCAUGUACUAUCAUUAUAAAUAUUUAUAUAUUCACGAGGCACAUCCUCUUCAAAUUUACGAUUUUCUAGUCAUGCAUUUUGACAUUCCUUUAUAUUAAUUAGUUACAUUUUUUCUGUGAAGGAUGAAUUAAGAUAAGAUAAUUAUAGUUUACUUUAUCUCUAUAAUUUCUCUUCGGAGGUUAUUUGAAUAAUAGGGAGAAUAUUAGAAGAAGUGGUAGGUGGUGGUGACAUUAAAAGUGGGUAGACUAGAAAGAGCAAUAAGUGGGGCCGAGUUUGACCUUUCAACAAAAGUUGUUGAAAGACAAUCAUAAGAUGUCAUGUUGUGGUUCUUCAUAUAAUCAAACCGACACAGCAAAGUGAUCUACGGCAGCUGGUAUCAAAGUAAUGUGAAGGUAGAAAAAGGCUAAAUAUUUGCCAUGUACUAUCACGAUUUUGACAAAAGUAUCAUUUAUUUGAAAUAAUAUUUAGUAAAUAUCAUAAUUUUAAAACUAUUCCCAAACUUUGAGAGUAUGUGUGGUUCUAAAGGAAACUAGUGUUCUCAUGAUUUUAUUAUAGAAAAUAUAAAAAAAUAAAAUAUAAUUAAAAUUAAUUAAAAUUUUAUAUAUUUUAAAAUCAUUUAAUUUUUAUAUAAUAAAAGGGAAAUAAGUGAAAUGUGUUUGAAUAAAUAUUUAAAAAUAAUUUAUUAAAUUUAAAUUUAUUUUUUAUUUUUUUUCAUUAUUUAUUUUCUUUUACUUUUUUUAUUUAUUUUUUUCUUGUAUUUUUCCUCAAAACUUCAGUGAACCAAAUAUAGUCAUAAUAUUUUUUAAGGUAUUAAUUUAAAUUAUUCAUUUUAAAAGACAAUUACAAAAUUAAAUUCAACUUUUGAUUGGAUUUCUCUCACCUAGAUAGAUUUGAAAAUAUUUUAUCAAUUUUUAUAUUAAUUUUUUAAAUUAUUGUAUUUUUUAAAAUCCCAUAUAUGAACACUCACUCCAAAAAGAAAUAAAUGUAAAACUUGGCAUGAAAGACUAUAAUCUUUGAUAAUAAAUGAGGUUAAUUCCCAAGAGAAGGGUUUCUUUGGAUUUUGAGUCGGGUUGGGAAAAAGGUAAUUCAAAAUUUUCAUGGCCAAACCAAAUCAAUUUGAUUUUCUUUUUUCAUUUUUCUUUUUUAAUAAAAUCUUAAAUUAUAUAAAAUUAAGUUAAAAGAUUAAAAAUUUCAGUUGAAUUUAUUGAUUGAAAAGUUAAAUAAAAAGAUAUUAAAUUGUAGUCAAAGCUUAGUAUCAAUUCUAAUACUAAGAAUAAUUAUAAAAAUAACAAACAGAUUUUUAAAGCAUAAACCAAAUAUAGCAAAUUUAGUGUUAUUAAUUUUUCAAAUAUUGUUUGUGUACCAUAAGAUUAAAUAUAUCAAAUUUAAUUUUAUAAAUUGAUUAAUCUUCUAUAUUUUAUUUGAUGUAUGUUAACGCUUACGUUAAAAAUCAAUAUAUAAUUUUUUGAUCCACACACCUUAAUCCUAUCAAAAUACAUAAUAAAUAAAAUGAUACUAGUCUAAGAAAAUAAAAUUAUGAUACACCAUGUUAUUAUUCUUGUUUUACGUCAAAUAAAAUUUUUCAAAUUAUAUUUGUUAUAAUUUUGCUAUGCUAAUUGAUUUAACAGUAAAAGUAUAGUAUCAUAAUAAUUUAUUUAGUUUUUUAUUUGUUUCUCUCUUUUUGAAGCAUCAAUCUUAAAAUUUCUUGGUUUAUUUGUGACUUGGUUCAAUAUGAUAAAUAUAUAUAUGGUUAGUGACACAUGUUUGUACUCUUCUAAAUUAAAUUCAAUGUUAUGUUGUUAGUUGAAAAGCAAUGUAAGUUUAAAGUGAUGUGAAUGAAUAAUAUAUUUCCAUUUUAUUUAGUUAUGUAUGGAUUCAAUCUUUUCUUUAUUUUACAAAGAAAAUGAGAAUUUAAUUAUUGAAGAAUUGAAUCACUGAUUUUAUUAAAGCCUUUAAUUAAAUCAUAGUAAUCAAAUGAUAAAUUCAUAUAAGCUGCAAUAUUAUUAUAUUGUAUUGUUUUUUUGUGUUUAAACUUAUUUUUGGAGUCUUUGUUUUUAAUUUGGAUAGAAAGUUUAACCUCUAGUUUAAAUUUUAAAAUCCUAGGAGGAGAUUUAAAAAGAAGUAGACAUGCAUAUUUAUAUUUUGUUAGAAAUGACACAAAUUUUUGUUGGAUUAAAAAAUCAUAUAAAAGUAUAUUAACAUUUAGUCAAAAUCUUUAAAAAUCUUUUUAAAAUUAAAUAUAAGAUCAAAUAUCAUAAAAAAUCAUGAAAUUAAUGUUUUUUUUCCUGUGUGCAUAUUUGAAAAUAUAUACAAAAUGAAAACUUAUUUUUUCAUAUUUUAAUUCAUAUCAUGAAAUUCUAAAAUAUUUAUUAUAUUAUGAACUUUUAUUCCCAUGGAUAAUAUCUUUGAUACGAGAGCAUAUAAAAUUUUAAUUAUUUAUUGAAAAAUUAUUUAUUUAUUUAUUUAUUUGAAAAGUGUAUGCCAAACACAUUUUUUCCAAUUGAUUAUAUCAAAAUGUUCAAAUGAUACAUUUCUUUGGAUGCUAUCUCUCAUCAUAUUUACACAUUUUGAUUAUGAUAAAGAUCAGCAUUACCCAUAAAUUUGUAUCAAAAAGGGUUUGAAUACGCUAUGUUUCUAAUGAAGAGGUGGAAAUAAGCCACCAAAUAUUCAACUCCAGUAGAUGAUCGGGCGAUUGACUUCUGCUUCUUAGAGGACUAGCUAGGAAAUGGAGUUGCUCGUGAGGAAAACAACAUGGGUACUAGUUGAAGAUCUAUCAUCAAAGUUACCUGCCCAAUCAACAUUGAAAAAGGCAUGCAGACGAAGUGGAGAAUUCUUAAGAGACCAUGAUGAAAGUGUACGAACCAAAUAACGAAGUGGAUGCUUGACUGUGGACCAAUGCAUGAUGGUGGUGGGAUAUGUACGUUGUGAUAGCGAAGGCUUUCAUGCAAAUAAGAUUAAUUCAAGAACACAAAGAUAAAAAAUAAAAAAAUAAAAAAUUCAAUACAAAUGGUACACAAAGUUUUAAUGUGGUUUAACCAAUCAUGCCUACCUUCACGAAUAAGAGAAUCAUUCUACUAUACAAUAGAGAAUAUUAUAAAGAAGAGAACUAGAUACAACUAUUGGGUUCUCUUCGGGUAUUUUCCGUUCUUUCUCACAUCUCUAUCCACUUCGUAUAUACUCUACAUGUUUAUCUUCAUCUUAUAAUUUUUUCCCUUUAUGACUUAAAACAUUUAUAAAGAUAUUUCUAACAACUUUCCUUAUUCUAUUGGGAAAUCUAUUAUAACAAUAAUAUAUUUAACUUAGAAAAUAUUCUUUACAAAAAGGAAUCUUUGCUAAUUAGGGAUUUAAGACAAUUCCAAACAGGAUGUAUAAAUUAGGACAAUCCCACCUCUGGCAGAGAUAUUUUGAGACUUCCAUGAAGAGGAUAUUGGCACAACUCAACACCUUGGCGUGAAUUGUGGGACUCAAAGGAGUGAUAAGGUUGAAAACUCCCACAAUUCAUGCUACAACAGUGGAGAGACGUUGAAAGAUGAAGGAGUCUCAAUGGCAACAACUUCAACUCGAAAUGGUAGUUUGACUAGUUAAAGAAAUGUCAACAAAUUGACUGAGUAAAUCCUGGAUUCAAAAUAGAGCUUAUCUUGAAGAAUUCUGUUAUUUUUAUUUUUUGUUAUCCCAGUUUUCUUUUGUGUUUAAAUAGAGGACGUGGUCUUCUAUAUGUUGUAUUCUGGAAAAAAAACAAAGGUGUUACAUCUCCAGCCAUGUCACGUAUAAACUCAUUCUUUUCCUCUUCAUCUGUUUUUUCAAAUUCUCUUUUUGGUAUCAAAGCCACUGUGACAACGGCACAACCUAGCACCUUGCCCUCAAAUAACCAUGACUUUCCUCUCACUCAAUGUUGGAAAUUUUAUUACUCUCAAACUCAGCCCCACAAAUUAUCCAUUGUGGUGUGAACAAGCCUUGGCCCUUGCAGAAAGCUAAGAAUUGCUCGGUCUCCUUACUAAUGAAGAUCUUGGUCCACCUCAAUACACCAUACCAGAUUCCAGUAAUACCCCAACUGCAGAAAUGUAUGCACCAAGAAUAACCGAAGCAUACAUUGCAUGGCAUAAAGCGGAUCGUCUUCUUUGAGGGUGGAUAAUUGGAACACUCUCUAAAGAAACACUUGGCCUCGCCGUGGGCUUAGAUACAACAAAUGUCGUAUGGGAAGCAUUGAAAAAUGCAUGCGCUGAAGAUUCACAAGAACGAGAAUUCACACUCAGGCAACAAGUAACAUAUCUUCGGAAAGAAGAUGACAACACAAUUGGAGAACAUAUUCGAACCUUCAAAAGCCUAUGCGAUAGUCUUGCGGCAAUUGGGAAACCAGUCCCAGACAAGGAAAAGGUAUUUUGUCUUCUCACGAGUCUUGGUCCUUAAUAUGAAACUUUAACUACUACCAUUCUCAAACCACUAAGACCAUCAUACUCUGAGCUUGUCUCACAACUUCAAAGCCUUGAUCAAAGACGAAAUUGGUUCUCAAACCAUGCAAAUGCCACCCAUGCACUCACCCCUCAAAUGGCCUUCUAUGGACAACAACAACAAAGAUUUCCACAAUCCUCCAUAGGAUAUCAAGGCAACAAACAAACAUUCACUUCAACAUGAAGAGGAUUCCAAGCACAACAAUCAAAGAACCAAAACCGUGGCUACUCCCUUAGCCCAACAUCCAGUUCUCAACAAAGAUGACCCCCCACCCCCCACCCCCCACCUGGAGAGCGACGUAUGACACCUACUAAAAAAGACCUUUAUCGUGAAGAAAAAUGUCAAUACUGUGGCAUGGUAGGACAUAUUGCAAAAAUAUGUUGGUGGGUGCCCAAAAGGCCUACACAACAAGAUGACAUACCACAAGCACUGGCAGCACUUACCUUGGAUAAUAUAAUUGCUUAAACGGAAUGGACCUCAGACACAGGAGCCUCAAAUCACAUGACCGUAAGCAAGGUAUGUUAACUAAUAUUUGAAAUUAUUCUGGUUCAGAUUCAGUUCUUAUUGGUGAUGGAUCUUCUCUACCAAUUCUUGGUAUUAGAGAUUCUAGCAUUAAGCAGAAGAAUAAAGUCUUAUCGCUUCAUGAUGUUUUGCUAGUCUCUCAUUUAAAAAAAAAUCUUCUCUCCGUAAGUCAACUAACAACUCAGUUUCUUGUUAAUUGUGAAUUCACUAAUGUUGAUUUUUGUGUAAAGGAACGACAAACAGGACAACCAAUGAUCACAUAGAGACGCAACGGUGAUCUCUAUGUGCUUCCCAACUCGUCGGAGCUCUAUUUUUCUCAUCGUUUCAAAUCCGGUUCCGCAGACAUUUGGCAUCAACGUUUAGGACAUCCCCAGUUUCUGCUUUACAAUUUUUAAAAAAUAAAGGGUUGAUUGAUGUUAUUGGCAAUGUCAAAUCCGAACAUAUUUGUGACAGUUGCCAAUUAGGGAAGCUUAAUAGAUUACCUUUUUCUUGUUCUAAAAAUCUAAGUUCUAGCAUUUUUGAAAAAAAUCCAUUGUGAUUUGUGGGGACCUGCUCUUAUUUUAUCUAUUGGAAAAUUCAGAUAUUAUGCAUGUUUAGUUGGUGACUUUUCCAAGUAUACUUGGAUAAUUCCCUUACAACAUAAAUCUGAUUUUGUAAAUGCUUACUUAGCUUUUGAACAAUAUGUCAACAGACAAUUUAACAAAAAGAUCAAGGUCUUGCACUCGGAUGGAGGGGGAGAAUUCAUAAACUUCAAGUUAUCAUCUCACUUCCUCUCUAUCGGAAUUAUACAUUAGGUAUCAUGUCCAUAUACUCCAGAGCAAACAAGUAUGGUUGAAAGGCGACAUACGAUAAUAUGAGAACUUGGAAUGACCAUGUUAUUUCAUAGUGAAGCUCCUCUAUUUCUAUGGGUAGAAGCUUUUUCUUCAAUUGAUUGGCACCACUCACAAGUUUUUGAUAAAGGAGUAUUUUGAGCAUCAAAGUACAACUUACCUCUCAAGUUCCCAUAUGACACCAUAAAGUUUGAAAUAUUUUAGCUGAAAUUGGGGUCGAGAGAUAAUCAGAUGUCAAAAUCCCUUUGUCAUAACCUGAAGUUUCUAAUGGUGGCAGAAGCUCAAAUUUGAGAAGUAUAAGAAACCUUGAGAUUUGGUCUAAUUGAUACUGGGGGGUUUGAUAUUAAUGAAGAAAGCAACUAAAUAAGGAAAGCAAAGAAUCAUGAACUGGUUCAUUUAGAUGCUGCUGCUGUGCAGCUGGCAUCAAGAAGGGCAUGACAAUUGGCAAGCAUUUGGGCUUGAGGUGGCCAGUUACCUUUAGUUAUCUGAGCGUCUGCAAAAUCUUGUAUCCAUGCGGACAACAACGACAACCUUUCCUCCUGCACAAUCUUCAGACCAGCAAUGUUCUUCAAUAUGCUGAUCAAGAUAUCAAGCCAACCUAACGCAAGAUCAACAAAUCUGAUGGUCUGUCCUCCUGCCACAAAUUCUGCACUUAUUGUUCCUAGACUAUCCAGCACAGGCAGCAGCAUGCAUGUGUUAAAAAUGUGGGGAAGGCCAAAUCUGACCAUAUGGCCCACCUUCUUUCUCUCAGGAGAUGCAUGGCCACCUUUGGUGAGCCAUUCUUAAAACAAGUGGAUGUUUCAUUUCUUAAGUUCUCCAUCUUUGCUUUCAAAAAUUGAUUUUCAAAAAUUUGAUUUUCAAGUAGUUUUCUUUUACUCCUUAAUCUUUUCAUUAUUUUAUUUUAUUUUAUUAUUUCAUUUUGUCAUUUUAUUUUAUUAUUUUUUAUUAUUAUUUAUUUUAUUAUUUUUUUCUUAGUAAUCUUAAAGUCAAUAAAAUCCCUUUUAAAUAAAAUUUGCUUCCACUUUCUAUUCGGCAAGCAAUUUUCUAAUCUUUCUUGGUCUUUUAAAAUAUUUUGAAAAUAAGCGUGAAUUUAAUCCCGUGAUUCCGAGUAAUGGAUUUAUUGGAAUUAAUUCAUACAAAAUAAAAUGGGCUUUGAUGGGGGCCCAACAUUAUUGGAUGUUUCCUUUGAAAAUCAAUUUGAUUGAAUUGUGAUAUAUGACGACUUCGUACUCGAUUUAGUGGCAUGUGAGCUAUGUUUUAUGUCCAUUAUUUGUGCACUAACCUCAUUUCUUGAUAGCUCAUUUUGGCUCGUUGCCCAGAUACGUAUCUACUCGAAUCCUAGUCAUUCUCUGUGCAUGUUUUGACUCUCAUACGUGCAUGAUCGUUCUGGGUAUUCAUUGAUUUACUUAUCAAUUGUCAUGAUUGAUUCAUUUUAUUAGUAGAGACCCGACUUUAGGGACUUAGAGGGGUGCUACAGUCUUUACUGUACCUUUCCGAUAAGUAACCUGACUCCCGAGCCCGAUCUAGUUUUUCAUUGACCACCUUUUUCAAAAUAAGGAGUCACACUUAGGGUUUUCUUUUUUAAUUUGUUUACCCUUUUAAAAUAAAACAAAAAUAAGUGGCGACUCCAAUUCUUUUUCUAACAAAUAAAUCAUUUUCUCAAAAUAAAAAUCGAGCUCGCCAUCGAGUGGAAGCGCAUGAGCCGAAAUGCGGGGUCCACAAUAAUGUUAUGAUUUUGUGAAAACAUUAAAAAUGGCAAUAUGCUAGUAUUCUAUAUCAUAUAUACCCUUUCUAAGGACCAUUUAUUUAGAUAAUUUAACUAUAACUUUUAGUUUAUAAACUCUUAUAAUAAUAAAUUUUGAAUAUUAUGAGGAUGGAAACUUAAGUCAACAAAUAUAGAAGUAUAUUUUAGCUUUGCAAACACAAGAGUGUAGAAUAGUUGAAUUCACAUGGAGUGGUACAAAUAUGUUAAAGAUCAAAUAAGUGGACGGGGUUUGGAUACUCUCCACCUUUUUUUUCAAGGAAAAGAAAGAUGUUUGGGUUCAAUUAUGGAUUUAGGGUUUUUUUUUUUUUAACAUUUUAAUUAUGUAGUAUUUGAGUGUUUAGCUAGGUUGGCAAUUCCGAACAAAAUUCCUAAGUGUCGUCUAACUCGGUUUUUACAAUCCUUCUUUGGACUAUUUACUUAAUGAAGAUAAAGUUGUUGAAUUUGUUAAGAGACAAAGUUAUGUAGUUGAGAUUGGAGUUGAAGUUGGAUGAAAUUUGAAUCAACCACAUUUUCAAAAUGUUGAUUGUCUUGGAACAUUUUAAAAGAGUUAGGGAAGCAUGAGAAAAAUAUUUUUGCUAAAAGAUUUUUGUUCCCCUGUUUCUAGAUCGAUCCAAGUGUAAGGGUAGAUCGAUCCAAAUAACCUCUUUUUGAGAUUAGUUUUCAGCCAUUAGAUUAAGGGUUUCUUUUCCCUUUUAAAUACAAAUUUAUCCCCUUUUUGGAAACUAAGAAAUUGUAGCAGUCAUUCUUGUGCUCCUUAUUCCCUUCUCUCUUUGAGGUUGCUUGUUUUCCAAUAAAAUUUCAUUCAAGUUUUCAGCCAAAUUUUCAAUGGAUUUUCUUAAGAAAGAAUGGGAUGAUUUUUCAUUCAUUAAUCUCUCAAUUUUGAAUCUAUUUAGGUUUGUGUAAAAACAAAUUUUCUUCUUGUGUGGAUUCAAGAAGAGCCCAAGAUUGAGCUUGAUGUGGACUCCAAGUGUGCUUUGGAAGAAGAAGGUGAGAAGUUGAAAGUGAAAGGUACUAGUCAAGUGGUCUAGAAAGGAUUGGUAGAUUUGAACUAAGUAAAAUCCUGUAUUCGGUUUUUGUUCUUCAUAGUGGACGUUUUUUAUCAGUUGUUGGUCCGUGGUUUUUUAUCUCUUCGAAGGUUUUCCAUGUUAAAAUUUGGUCUCAUUGUCUCUCAUUCUCCUCUUCAUUUCAAUUUCAGUUUUAGCUAUCUUUGAUAAUCUGGACAUCUAAUUUUUGGUUGAAUGUUGAGGUAAAAUAGAUAUGUGUUAACUUUAAUGUUGUCUUUGAAUAUUGUUCAUAGGUAUAUUUGAGAUAUUUUGCUCUUGUUAUUAAUAAAAAAAUUGUUCUAAGUUUUUGUGUUGGGGAGUGUUGGAACAUGUGCAUAUGAAUUGCAUUUUAUUCUUGUUAGGAGUGUUGUUGCAUUCAUAUUUGCAUGUGAUUUCUGAUUUGUGUUUUUAAGUGUUUGUAAAGAGAAGGAAAAAUUGUAAAAAUUGUUAAGGUUAGUUAACUUAUGUUGGGAGACCUUAAAUUGGACAAAACACCUAUUCACACCCCUCCCCUCCUGUAGGUGUAUUCUAUAAUUGAGACUCACCUUUCAUAGUAAAAUUAUUACAUUUUAAUUAUUAUUUGAGUAAAAAAAAAAAUAGCUUCUAAAUUCCUUACAAGACUCUUAAAAAUAUUUUUAAAAUUGGCUACAAGUUUGAAUACUCUAAAUAAUUAUAGAAAUAACAAAAACAUUGAUGGAUAAAAAUUUUAUGAAGUCAAAUUUUAUGAGAAAAAUGAUUACUUUUCAAGUUAAAAAUAAAUAAAUAAAAAUUAAUAAUAAAAUAAAAGAUUAUCAUAUGAUACUAAAAAUUUGUUUUUGGCUGUCAUUCAUAUUAUAACAUAUUACAAAUCAACAAAAUAAUCUUAUUUCUUUGUAUAUUAUUACACAUAUCAACCAAUAAAGAAUAAAAUAAUCUAAUUUCUUUUCUCUCUUGUUAUACAUAUCAAUUACUUAUAUUUGAAUUUUGUUAUGCCACUCAUGCAUUUGGAACCUUAGAAUUUUCUUAAAAUAAAACAAAAAUAAAAAAUAUGAACAAAAGAGAUAUUUGUAUUUAAUCUUGUAACGUUGCCCUACUGAUGACAUGUAACGAUCAAUUGACGCAUAACGGUCAUUUACUUGUGGCGGCUUACUGCCCGACCAAGUUUUGGUCAAGUGGGACCACUUGGACCGACUUUAUUUGGGUUGCCUACCUAACUAUCUGACUAUUUGGGUACCCCCAUAUCCUAUAAUUGAAAUUUCAUGAAAUAAUUUAUUAGAAGAACAUAUUAACAAAUCCCAUUAAAGCUUCAUGAAAUAUAUUUCCAACGUAACUACAUGAAUCACAUUUAUAGAUCACAGAAAACAUUUGUCACACGAGAAGUUCUUUAGAAUGGUGAUUAAUUUUUGCUUCUGAAACAGUCUAGGAACUAGAGAUGGAGGUGUCAUUACACUGUUAUAAAUAGCAAGCUUUGAUGUCCUCCUUGAACUUUUCACAUUGUUGUGCCCUAUUCAAGUCUCUCUCUUGGUGCUACACUUGCCAUGGUAUUGCGUCCAUGGCUCACCAAGUCAUCUCCUUGCCCAAGGCAUUGAGCCCUUGUGCCACCUUGCUAUAAUCCUAGAUCACUCAUGAGGCCUUAGUGCCGAAUGGUCCUUGUCAAGGGCUAACCAUAGUUAAAUCCAUGUGAACUUACAAGAAAUGCCUGUGGCAUAUAUGUGAAUAGAACAUAUCAAAAAUCUAUCUUUGUUGAAGUACUUUUUAUGAUAGUUUCCAUUGCUACUUUAUCAUAUCAAUAUAAUUUUUUUUAGACAAUUAUAUUUAAAGUCUGUUUGACAUUGAUUAUAGGAAGUGUUUUUAACCUAAAAGUUUUCUUUCAAAAAAAUUAAAAGUGUGUUUAAAAGUGAUUUUAAAAAGUGUUUCUAGCAUUUCUAAUACUUAAAUAAUAAAAAAUUUCAAGUAUUAAAACUGUUUCCUAGAAUUACUACCAAAUGAACUUUAAGUAUUAGCAAUUCAGGAAACACUUCCAAAAAUUUAAAAAAUUACUUAGUAGUAUUUUCUAAAGAAACACUUCAUAAGUGAUUUUCAUUAAAAAAAGAAAAUAUUUCACUAAAAAUACUUUAAGUAAAAAUACUACUAAACACACUCUUACACUCUUAUUAUGUUUUAUUAAAACAAUAUGGCAGUGCCCAGAUAUGAAGAAGAUGAAGCUAAUUAGCAAUAGAUGCUCAAAAUGAAUUUUAAACAUUUUACAAUUCAUCGAAAUUUCAGAAAUACAUGGACUUACAAAAAGGCUCUUCAUGAGAAGAUAUUCCACGUUCUCUACGGAAAGUUUGGUGCCCUCUGCAAUGAUAUUCAAUGGAAUGGUACCAUCUUCUGAAGGACGGCUGCAAGAUACAAUAUAUCAGUUGAAUUCAGCAAUAACUUUCUGAAUCUUGCCCUGCAAUCACAAGUAAAACGAUAUUGUUAACAUACCUGAAGAUGACAUCCAUCAAGCAGAGAAUGAUUUCUAGUAGCUUCUUCUAAUUCUGAACCAAUGUCGGUUGAGAACUCGGCAGCAUUAUGGACGCGGCAUAAUUCUUGAUAGCAGAGUAAAUCAUCAUAGUUGGAUGCCUGGAGUAUCUAGUAGAGCCGCUCAACCUUUUUCCCCAGGAAACUUUCUAUCUGUAGGAGUUGGUAAAACAUCUGGCUCCAAUGAAGACAUUGUGCAGUUCUCUUUCGGUAAAUCAUCAGGCGCAAUAGCUCGCUGGGCCUAGGGAUGAUUGCUGCAGAAUUCUUAACGGAUUAGAAUUGAAGCAUCCAGUCAACACCAAAGGAUUAAAUAUGAUAAAGCUCAAAAUUCCACCAUUACUCGAAGCCUGUAAAAUACACUUGACCCAACAACUGCAGGAAAUACUGUGAGGGUUGUUUCCGGAAUAAGGUUGAGCUGAAGGUGUUUUACGACUCUGUUGGACCAUCAUCCCCAGGGAGGCCAAAUAUGUGGAGGUUCCGUUCCAUCGAUCCCACAGCCAAGUAUUUUGCACCUAUCUGGACCAAAUUUUACUCGAGUUGUUUUGCCUGCAUGCAGGACCAGAAGAAGUGGGGAAACCAAAUUUUCUUAUGAUUUAGUACUAUAUGUGCUCCUCGCCAAAGUGUUAGUAUUCUACCGUAUAUGAGAACAAACAAAAAAAGCUCAGAAUUGCGGGGAAAAAAAUUAUAUAAAGGGCAACAAUAAAUCAAUAGCAACAAUAAAUCAAUAAUCCAAAAACUAAAAGCAUAGAGAGGGAGGAAUUAUAGACCUCAAUAAUGAAGAGAUUAUAGACAACAAACAAAAAUGAAAGAAAGCAUAUAGGUUCACGAGAACGAUGAAAUUAAUAUGUAUAUAUAUAUAUAUAUAUAUAUAUAUAUUCAAUUGAGCUCCCUUUCCAUAUGCGUCAACUAUCGAUAAGCCAUACACAUUGAUCUCUCAAAUAUUGAACCAAUUUGAGUAAGUUCUCAACAUUAUCUAAAUUUUGGACAGAAAACACAAAGCAAGUUAUGAUUUAUUGGCAAAUGAUUGGUCGUUAAUGAUAACAAGCAUGAAAUAAAUUUCAAAACUAAUCUAAUUAUUCAACAAACAUGCACACUGAACUUAAAUAACAUUAUUAAUUUUUUCAAAAGUAAUUGGUUGACAUAAUUAUAAGCACAUUCAUCCAAAAAUAUUAAAUUAACUCACAAUUCAAAACCAUGGAGAAGGUUUGCCUAACAUGGAAUCUAUUUAAGAUUUCAAAUCUUCAGUAAACUAAUUUUGCAUCAGAAAAACAAAAACAGAGGGCAACAAUUUUAGAAGACUGACAGUAUAAUGAUAAAAAAAUGGUCAUAAAAAAUGGAGGGAUUGCAUUCCUGAAAAAUAUUAUAGAUGACAUGUUUGAAUGAAAGAACAUAGUAGUCCUCUUGACGUCUUUCAAUAAGUAUAACAUUCUGAUUUUCAUGUCACUUACUCUGGCAAUGGUACUCCCUUUCAAAGUACUUUUUCAAACUAUUGAGUCUGGCUACUUCAGAUAUGAAAAGAAUAGUGCUACCUUCAAUGGUCAUUGCAAACCAUUUAGGUUCCCGAGCUUGAGAAGCUUCAAAGAUGGGAAUUAACCAAUCUCAUGUUUUACUCAUUUCAGCAGUAUAUGCUGCUCACUCAACUCUCAGCUAUAGACCACACAUGGGCAUAAAAAAAUCAACAUUGCAAGCAGAGUAUGACACUUCUAACAAACUGAUUGCGAAGUAAUAAACAAUAAAGGGAUCAAAAGCAUAAACCUAACUAGAAAGAAUGGUUGUGACCAGUAACAAAAACUGAGGGCUAAGGUCGGUGAUGCAAUUGAGAUAACCCUUUUCAUAUUCAUCCACCAUCCAUAACUGGACAACAUUUGUCUCUGGAACAUUGAAGGGCUCAAACAGCAUAAUUGCAUUGUCAUGGUAGCUCAAGCACUCACAAAUAGCAUGGAAAACAAUUCUCUUUUGCUUGUGUACCCAACUGUACAAUUAAAAAUGAAAGAAAAGGCAGAAGUAGAGGAAAUAUUAAUCUAUCAGUGUCUGUCUCCAGCCUAUUAAUCAUGAUGAAUAUUACCAGAAUAAUGUAAUAUUUGUAACUGACGGGUUCUAAAACAAUAAACAUGAACCGAAAAAUGUAGGAAGAGAGGUUCGCAGUGAAAACCUGGAAUUGUGGAAGACUCACUCAAAUUAAAAGAGACCAGUGAGUCCUUCAUGCACCAGCCAUCCAUUACUUGUCAAUAGAAAUUUGUCCUUUUCCUUUUGGCAUCUUCUCCUUAUGUAUUAAGGGAUUUUGAGGCUAUGUAGAGUGCCAAUGGAUUGUUACCUUCCAGUGGUGUCAAGCCACCAAUCCAUAUGGUUACGAGGCUUCCCUUUGAAUUGUGUGCCACUGUCAUCAUCCUCAUUCUCAAACAGAUGUUCUUCUUAGCGGCUGUGACAUGCUGAAUAUGUUGAAACAGAGACAUUGUUCUCUGCACAGACAGUUUAAAGUCUUGGAGAGAAGGGAGGUGUCACAGUCCCACCUCAAGCAGAGAUAUUUGGAGACUUCCAUGAAGACAAGGCCAAUGUGAACUCCAAUCAGCUUUAGUUCCUCACUAUUUUGAAGAUGCAAAAUUUUCAAAAACUUAGUGAUCUAUGCAUUUAUUCGAACAUAUAGACAGUAACAUUAUAAAAAUUGAAGCUGUUAAAAGCAGGACAGAAUAUUGGAUUGCAAACCUGAAAUUUGUUGUAGAUGACAUGCUUCAAUUGAAGAACAGAAAUCCUAUUAAAUCAGGUACCAUAGCUAGUCAAUAUCAAUUUCAGGAAAGUUGAAGUGUUGAGUGACACAUUCCUUCCGGCAGUGAUUUCAAUUCCAGGCCAACAACAUUUUCAAGCUCAUUAAGAGAUGUCAGGCUGUCUUCUAGUCCGGUAAAGUUACAAAACAAGAGAAAUUGAUGAUUUUAAGGAUUUCCAGAAUGUUACCAUUUCCAAGCUCCAAUAGCGGAAGCAUCAACUCAUUAUUCGACAAAAAAAGCUCUUUGCAACAUUUAUUCCACCUCUCAAAGGUGAUUAAAUGUUGCAUCCACUGAUAGAGAUGUCCAAGCCCCACCAUUAUCCCUUUUUACAUUGAAUUUACACCAAUUACAUCUGCAAGAAAAUAGUUAACCUGAGAAACUUCCAAACACAAAUUGCAAGAUCAUUUUAGCAAAACAGAACUAGGAAUUGAUAUCUUUAAAGAUACAUUUUCAAACUUUACUAACUACAAGCAUGCUUUCAGGCCACAAAGGUUCAACUAAAUUAUAAUAUUAAUGGAACAUUGCAUUUUCUCUAUGCUAACUCUAUCAAUGGUUGACAUAAUAAUCAAGUGUUUUUGUCUAUGCUAAUACAUACACAGCAUAGAGAAGACAAGGAGUGUAGAAAAUCAAUGAUGAUGUAGUCAUCAAUAGUGGGAGAAGGAUUACCUGAAUUGAAAAGAAAGCAAAAUUCAUUUCUGCAUGAAUCAUCUAAGAGUAUAAAUUUUUGGGCCAUGUGAAAUUUUAGGCAAAUUCAAGACUGAUCCCCCUUUGGGCUUUAGGCCAAUGAAUAAUCUCGAGUUUCGAAUUUGCAAGAAAUAGUAACUAAAUCAACCCUAGUGUUUUCCAAAAAUCUUAGGAUGUAAAAAUUAAAGUAACAUGAUUACCUUGGUCCUCAAUUACCAAUUAAGAACUUGUCUAAUUGUACAUUGAUUGGAAGAUGCAACAUUUUCAUACUCAGUGAUCUAAGCAUUUUUCCAAAUAGACUGGGGAAAAAAAAUGAUAAAAAUUGAAGCUAUUAAAAACAGGAAGAAACAUUGGAUUGCAAACCUGAAAUACAUUAUAGAGGACAUGCUUGAAUUAUAGAACAGAAAUCCUUUAUGAAUCAGCCAACCAUGUCAAUUUCGAGAACAUUGAAGUGCUGAGGGGACACAUCCCCCUCUGGCAGUGAUUUCAAUUUAAGGCUGACAGCAUUCUGAAGCUCAUUAAGAGAGGUCGGGUUGUUUAUUCAGUCUGAUAAAGCUGCUAAACAAGAACAGUUGAUGUGAGGUUACCAAUACAGUCUAGUAAUGUUGUCAAACUAGAAUGAUCCCAAAUUGUGAGUCUUUGUAGAGUGCUGAGGGAAUCCAUCUCGUCUAGUGGUGAUAUCAAUUGAGGGCAAGAAUGAAUUCAGAGCUCUACAAGUAAUGUGAGUCUGCUUAUCCAGCCUGGGAAUGUUGUCAAUUCAGAACAGAGAAGAGAGCCUGUCCCUCAGCAAGUGAGCAAAGCCUUUCCUAUUUCACCAGCUCUCAAUAGCCUAUCAAGAUAUAUCAGGAGGCAUGGGCAAUAUUAAGCUUAUCUUCACCAUCACCUUCUUUUGCAUUAUCUUGAAAACUAUUAACACCUGUAACAAAAUAUUUAGUUUAAGAAAGCUUCCAAAUGUAUAGAAAGCAAAGAUGAGAUAAGAAAAUCAUUUCAACAAACAUAUUUCGUUUCAUGUCUCAAACUAUUAAGAGUACUUUCAGGAAUGAGAAAAAUGAUGCUACAAAUUGCCUUUUAGUGAAAGUAAAGAUGAUCUCAAUACCAUUAUUGCUUUAGUCCAUAGCAUUUUAAUUCAAAGGUCAACAAGCCUGACAUAAAGGGUGACCAGAUUGUCAUAUGAUUCAAUAAGAUGCACUCCUUGUGCAAAUUGUUGGUUUCUACUACAUAUGAAAAUUAGAAAAAUCAAAACUCAAACAGAAUGUGAAAGUCUUUAACAAAUUGAAUGGGAAGUAAUAAAUUAGCAAUCAACAGUUUUAACAUGUAAAAAGCAAAGGCCAACAACGUAGAUUCACANNNNNNNNNNNNNNNNNNNNNNNNNNNNNNNNNNNNNNNNNNNNNNNNNNNNNNNNNNNNNNNNNNNNNNNNNNNNNNNNNNNNNNNNNNNNNNNNNNNNUUUUGGAAAAAAAAAAUUUUUCUCAAUCCCUUUUUUUUUUUGGCCCAUACCUUUUAAUUUAAAGGGCCACAAACCUAAAAAAAAGGGGGCCCCAAUUUUUCAUUGGUUCAAAAAAAACCCCCCCUUGGGAAAAUUUUUUGUUUUUUCCUAAUUAAAAAAUUAAAAAAAACAAAACCCAAACCAAAUUGGAAAGUUUUUAAAAAAUUUAAGGGGAAAUAAAAAAUUUGCCACCCACCUUUUUAAAAUGUAAAAAACAAAGGCCCACCAGGGAAUUUUAACACCCCCCCCCCCCCCCCCCCCCCCCCCCCCCCCCGCCCCCCCCUUUAUACAUGCUAGUGCAUAUGAGAAUUAGGAAAACAAAAUUUUAAACGAAGUAUUCAAACUCUUAGAAGAUUGAUUGUAUAAUAAAUGAAAUCUUCAAAAACAGGAGAAAUGUUUUAUUACAAACCUGAAUUUCUAGUCGACAUCAAUUGUGGGAACUUGAGAAAUUUCAGGAGGUCAGUCUUCGGCAUGUUUCUAAGCAUAGAUAAUAGGCUCACAGCGCAUAUUAGGGUAGUCAACAACUGAAGGCCAAACCGUAGAGAUAGCUUGUGAGGCUUCAAGGGUAGUGAUUAGGAAUCACUUGAGACAGACACAUUAGGACACAACAGCUUUGAAUUUUUAAUAGCUUGAGAAAAGUGAGGUGUGGAAUCAUUGCAAAAGAUAAUCCUAGCUUUCCAGUUACUGAAGGGAAAUGAGGUGUUUCAGCCACAAUGCUAUCUGCUUUUGCUUACAACACUAUCAGCCACAAAGCCAUUUCAGGGAAAUGAAGAAUUAUCACAAAUCUCUUAAAUAAGGUGAAUCUUCUAUGAGAUAUUAACAAUAUUAAGGUCAUUGAAUUAUAAUUUUAUGCCAUCAUUAGCAAUUGAAUUGAAGAGCAAAACUUCCAAACUUCCUCAUUUAAGCAUUUUAUCUAAAGGAGAAGGUGUACGUUUCAUACCUGAAAUGGCUUUCUGCAUCAAACCCGUCAUCCACUUUUAUUCGGACAUGAGCAAUCUUGGGCCAGUCUUCACCUUUUUCCCUUUGGCAUCUUUUAGAUAAGUAUGGACAUUCGGAGAUUUCGAGUAGGUAGAGGGUUGUGAGGGAACGCAUCUCUUCUGGCAGUGAUGUCAAUUUAGGGCAUUUACGAAUUUGAAGGUAUUCAAGUGAUGAGAGGCUACCUAUCCAAGCUGGUAAUGUUGUCAAACUAGACCAGUCGUGAAUUGUGAGACUCUUGAGGAUUCUAAGACAAUGCAAUUCUUCUGGCAAUGAAGUCAAUUCAGGACAAGUACCAAUUUCAAGAUCAGUCAGCGAGGUGAGGCCGCCUAUCCAGCUUGGUAAUGAUGCCAAACCACAAGAGUAGUCAAUUGAGAGUGUGUGUAGGGCAGUGAGGGAAUGCAUCUCUUGGGGUAAUGAUGUCAAUUUAGGACAAUUUGUGAUUCGAAGGUGUGUAAGCGAGGUGAGGUUGCCUAUCCAAUGUGGUAAUGUUGCAAAAUGAGAGCAGUCCCCAAUUUUGAGAGUUUGAAGAGUGGAAAUAUGUUGAUGAAGCUCAUCUGGGAGAGACAUCAAAUCAUCUAUGUCUUGAAUCCUCACAGACUUCAAUGAAGAAGCAGUGGCCGACAUUAACUCCCGCAAUACCCCCUCUUUCACUUCAUUCAGACACAGACUCUCAAGGCAAGGUAAGGAAGACAGUUUCAAGGAUGUGGGCUUAAGGCAAUGGGAGAUGUAUAAACUAGAAAGAAGAUGAGAUGAAUGCAGUUCCAAGGAUGCCAAGUCACCACAAUACCUAAUCUCUAAUUGUGAAAGAAGAGGAGAUGAAGGUAGUAGUAAGGAUGUCAACUUAGGGCAAAAGGUGAUUUCUAUACUAGAAACACAAGGAGACGGAUACAAUUCUAAGGAUGCCAAGUCAUCACACUUCUUGAUCAGCAAUAGUGAAAGACAAGGAAAUGAAGGAGGUGAUUGUGUUGCUGAGUCCCUCCUCCAUAAUUCCUUCAACUUUGGCAUAGAACUCAGAUAGAGAUUUUGAAGAGAUGGGAAGAAUGGCCCUUCUGAUGAACACUCCAUGUACUCCACCUUUCCCAGAUGAUGAAGCUUCAGAGACUUGAGGUGACGGAGUCGAACAAUGCAUGGUAGAGUCUGACAUCCUAAACAUGAUGCCAAAUAAAUUGUGGUGAGGUUAGGGAGCAUGGUACUCAAUUCACCAUUCAUCAUCCAACGUGGAAAUCCCUUACCUCCAUAUCCUAUUAUAAAGAGAUCCUUUAGGUUUCGAUGUGGUUGGAGGCCUACCAUCACUGACUCAGCAUCCUCACCUGACUGUUCUUCUUGACCAUAUGACCAUUCUAAUCCCAAGGACUCAAUGUAUUGUUUUUCGACCAAAUUUGCUUCCCUGGAUUCUACCUUAGCAUCCAUCACGUUUUCAAGCUUUUCAAUCCACAAUUCUCCUCUGAGGUUGUUCAGCAUUUUUAAUUCACUCAAUCUGCCAACUUUACUCCCAGUUCCAACAACAAACAGUGGUAGGCUUUCAAGCAAAGAUAACUCUCCCAUCCCACAUGUCAUAUGAGUCAAACUCCCACACCCUUGAUUCUCCAAGUGCCUAAGAUUAAUCAAUCUCCUCAUAUCCUUGGGAAAUUUUUUUACAUGCCCACAAUUAAUAAGUUUUAAUGUUUGCAAAUUAUAUAACCAUGUAAUAGCAUUUGGGAGUACCUUGAAAUUAUUAUAUGAAAGAUCGAGAUAUCUUAAAUGACUCAUUUUGCCUAAAGAUUUCGACACCUUUUUUACACUGAAUCCAUGUAGGCUCAACACACGUAAACUCUUAAAAUUUGGAAUAAGAGUACGCACAACUGAAUCAUUUUUAGAAUAUCUAUUAACAUUCAACAUGGUCCUUAUGUGUUUUAGCUUCAAAUCCUUCCCCGUAAGAUUCAACGAAUUAGAGAAUGAAACGUGAUAAACUCUUUCCAAGAUCUCCUUCACAUUAUUUCCUAAACAAAGGACCUCAAAUCCAACAACUGAUUGUGCAAGAUCAUGUAUAAGAUCAUGCAUUUUGUAAUAUGAUGUAUUAUCAUAUGCAUCUUUUGUAACCUCCUCCAAUAAUGAUCUUGACAACAAUUCCUCAAAAUACCGGUUUCCUACCCCUGAAGCUUGAAUAUACCCCUGUGCCAUCCAUAAUUGUACCAACACUUUUUUCUCAAUUUCAUAGUCUUUUGGAAAUAACGCACAAUAACCAAAACAUUGCUUCAAAUGGAAUGGUAGAGCAUCAUAGCUUAACUUGAGCACUGAUAAAACACUAUCAUUAUUUUCACCUUCCAAUAACAACAAAUUUUUGUUGUUUUUAAUGGACAACCACAUACUUUCUUCAGUUUUAAUGCGCAAUAUUGCUCCUAGUGUUUUGAGGAUAAGAGGAACUCCUUUACACAUAUUUACAAUUUCUUUUCCAAUUUCUACAAGGCUUGGAUACAGUCUUUCUUGUCCUUCUUCAAAUGCUAUUUUUAAAAAUAAAUUCCAAGACUGAUUUUCUUUCAAACCUUUCAAAGAAAAAGGAAAAUGAUCAAUACCCAUAGUUGAUGCAACGUUUCUAUUUCGGGUGGUUACUAGAAUCCUACUCCCUUUAUCACCAACCAUCAACAAGGUCCUCAAUUCCUCCCAUUUUUGGAAGUCAUCAUUCCAAACAUCAUCAAGUACUAGCAAGUAUCUCUUCUGCCUUAUUUUUUCAUGCAAGGAAUCUUUCAAAACGUUUAAUGACCCCAAAUCUACAUCUCCACCACUUAAAGAUUCCAAAAUUUUUUUAACCAGCAACUUUACAUCAAAAUCAUCAGAAACACAAAUCCAUAUCUUAGGCUGAAAAAAGUCUGCUACUCUCAUAUCAUUAUAUACCAGCUGAGCAAGGGCGGUCUUACCCAAACCCCCAAUUCCAAUAAUGGCUACAGCAGAAAGAUUUUUUUCAUUCCCUGAUGACACCAACAAUUUUAUUAUCUCCUCUUUGUCUUCAUCUCUUCCCACCAUUUCAGAGGUCAACACAAAUGAGUGAGUCUCUCUCCGACUACUCUCUACCUCCCUCUGAACUACUUUCCCUUGAAUAAGUUUUAGCAUAGGGAUUUCUUUCACAAUUUCUUCAACCUCUUCUUUGAUAUCCUUGAGUCUAUCACUCAUCUUAAAACGAAGUACUACUUGAUUGGAAGAUGAGAAGAAGUCACUGACCUGCCUUGCUACUCCUCCACGCUGCAGCUGAAGCAUCUCAAAGUCAUCCAACAAGUCAUCAGCAUCAUACACAACAUCUUUGAGCCUCCUCACCCAAGCUUUUACUGCAUCGCUCUCCUCCUGCCUCUUCUCAGCAUCAACCAGUACACCUUUGAUGGUGUCCAGCUUCUUCGUAAGCUUCGUUAACUCUUUUGUCACACCAAACGCAGAUCCAAUUUGUUGAAAAGCCGAGGAGCCCAACUUGGUUAAAACGUCAGCUAUAGUACUGAAUGGGAUUUGUUCAGCCAUUUUGGAAGAACUCAAAGUACAGAACGCCAACAGAGUAUGGUAAGAGAAUGAGAAAUUGAGAGAAUUGUAAGAGAGAAUACCACCAGACAAGUAGCGAUGAUAUACACAGGGCUAGUGGGAGGAUAAUAGAAGUACUCAGAUGCAGUGGGGCUAUUAUAUAAUAAUGAGACACAUGCUCUUCAAAUUUAUGAUUUUUAGGCAUGCAUUUUUACAUCACACUAUGACAUUAUUUCAUAUUGAUUAGUUACACUCCUAUUAAGGAUGAAUUAAAAUUAUAUAUAUAUAUUGAUGAUUGAAUUUUAUGCCUUAUGAAACAUUAAAAAUGUUUUCAAAAAUAAGCAAUAAAGUAAUAAUACUGAAGUACAUGAUAAAUCACAUAAAAUUAUAUCCAAUGAAAUCAAAUAUUUAAGUGGAGAAAAUAGGGUGGUGAACAGAAGAUGGGAUUCCAUUGUACAUUACGUACACAAACAUGUUGAUGGGACCACGGAAGAAAUCGGGAGAAUUGUGUUUUGGAAAGCUUUCAUCCUUCACGUUUAAGCUUAAAACCAAAAAGUGUGAAAAUUAAGAAAAAUAAUAUAAAUUUUUUAUUUUUAUAUAAAUAAUUUUUAUUUACUAAGAAUAUAUAUAUAUAUAUAUAUAUAUGUUAAUUUAAAUUUUAUUUCUUUUAUAUAUCUCCAUAAAAUUUAAUAUAAUUUAGUGAUUUAGAAAAAAAAUACACCCUUUUUCAAACAAAUAAAACUAAAUUAUUAUUAUUAUUAUUAUUUAAAAAUCAAACAUCUUGAAAAAUAUAUUUUUUUGGAAAUUGUAUAUAUAAAAAAUAACUAAAAAUAUGUCAAUUUUUUUUAAAUGAUAUAUUUUUAAAAAAAUUAGUUUUCUAAAAAUAAUAAAUUUUCAAAAUAAUUAUUAAAAAAAUUAAGAUAAAAAAGUUUGUUAAAUAUUAUGGUAGAAAAUAGUUUUAAAAGGUAUUAGUCUUUUCAUAUUUUAUAUCAUUUCUAUCAAUUAUACAACUUAUAUAGAUCAAAACUUAAUUUUUUGGCCCAAUUGGGUUCAAAACACAAUUGUCCCGAAAAAAUUAAGUUUGUGAGAUCUUAUUUUAUUAUUAUUAUUAUUAUUUGACGCAUAUAUCAAUGACAUUUUGACAAAAAUAUUAUUUAUUUUUAAAAUAUUUAGUAAAAUAUGAUAAUUUGUAGCAUUAUUUCCUAAGCUACAAUUUUAUUUUAUUUUAUUUUAAAACUAUCAUCUUAAAAAGCAAUUUCCAUAUUCAACUGAAAAUUCGACUUUCAAUUGAAUUUUUUUCAACUACAAUACAUUUGAAAAUAUUUUUUCAAUUAUAAUAUUUUAAAAAAUAUUUUUUAAAAUUGUGAUAUAUUUUAAAAUCUCAUGUAUUAAUCCCCAUUUAAAAAUUAAGUAAAUGUAAAAUCACAUACAAAAGACAAUGAUUCUUGACCAUAAAUAAGGUUAAUUCUCAAGAAAAUGAUCUUUUUUCAAUUUUGAGUAGGGAUAUGAAAAAGAUAAAUUGAAUUGACCUUGAUCAAAACAAAUCAAUUUGAUUAAAAUUAAAAUUUCAAAUACUGAUUGUUGUGUCUAAUUAAAAUUUCAAAUCAUAAAUAAGGUUAAUACUCUUAUUAAAAUUAAAAUUUCUCUAUAAUGUAUUUAUAUUCACAAGCAAAAGUCAUCUUAUAUAGGAUUUCAAAUACUGCUUGUUGUGUCUAAUUAUUCUCACAAUGAUCAAAAGUGAUAAAUUUUAUGAAUUAAUAAAAAUCUAUAAUUAAUAUGACAUUGGAUUCUCCAAUAUAUAUAUAUAAAGGAAUAAUAUAUUAUAAUAAAGAUGGGAAGAAUGUCAUGCGAAAGUGUGACCUUUACCGGUAUAGCACUAAAUGUUUGACCACUUAAGCCAAGAAAAUAUGAUAAAAUAAUGUCAACUAGCCAACAAAUUGUAAUGAAAUCUCCAACAAGUCUUGGAUAAUCUUUUGGGUUUGAUUCGGUCACUGUAUGAGAAAACAAUUUACUAAAAUACAAAAACCUUUUAGGUGGGUUUAAUAAUUUAGUCAUUACGGACAUCAUAGUCCAAAAUUUAAAAAUACCAAAUUUGACAAGCUUAAAGAAAGACCAUCUAACCAUGAUCAUCGUGAAAGUUGAAACCGACUAAGAAUAUUUUUAGGAGGGAUUGAUUUGAUUAUUGCACGUGAAGAUAAUGUACUGUAAACUAAUCAAUAAAAACAAUAGAGGCUUGAUAUAGAAUAGUACUACCAAGAUUAAAAACCUAUAUAUUAAAAAAUAGCAAAUGGAGAAAGUUUGCUAGCAAUUCCUUCCAACAACUCUCAAAGCUAUCCCAUAACUAAUCGAGAAUCUUUUAAGUUUGAUUUAGUCAUUGCUGACAUCAUAGUUCAAAAAAAUUUAAUAAAGAAAAUUUGACAAGUGUACAAAAUACCACCUAACAGUAAAUAUGAAAAUUCAAACUUACUAAAAAUAUUUUAGAAGAGCUUGAUUUAAACAUUGCAUAAGAAGACAAUACACUAUGAUAAAAUAAAGUAAGAACAACAGAGACUUAAUAAUAGUCUAAAAAUUAAAAAUAAAAAUAAAAAUUAUAUAUUAAAAGAUAACAAAUUGAACAAGUUUAAUAGCCACCUCCUUCCGACAACUAUGAAAGUUUUAACAACUAAUUGAGAAUCUUUUGGGUUUGAUUUGGUAGAAAAUAAUAUACUAAAAACAACUAUUUUUUAGCUGGGUUUAAUUUAGUCAUUGUUGGAUGGCAUGGUUUGAAAUUUUGAAAAAAAAAACAAACAAACAAAUUUGAUAUGCUAAAAAAAGACCAUCCUAAAAUACAAUUAACUAAAAAUAUUUCACUAUGAUAAAAGUAAAAAAAUAAAGAAAAAUUUUAAUAACCUUAUUCUUAUUUAUAAGGUUACAAUCAUAAUAAUUAUAAUAAAUAUUUUUAUGAUAAUUCUGAAGGUUUUGUGAAUAUCUUAAAAGUUUAUUACAAGAAAUGAUGAUAUCUAAAAACUUUUGGACCUAUUUAUAAAUACUCUCCAUUAAAUGUUAACCACUGUAGAAUAUGUAUCACUAAAACAUUAUUAGGUUUUAUUAGGAAAAACCUUGUGAAGAAAAAAAAAAAAAAACUCUAGUGAAAGAAAAAAAGUAUAAUAUUAUUUUCAUAUUUUUGGAUUAUUUCGUCGAAAACCUUGUUAGCAAAAUCCAAUGAGAUAAAACUCGAGCAAAGGAAAAAAGAAUCUAGUAUAUAAGUACCCUUAUUAAUUGGAUCCUCAUCAUAUUAACAUGAUUAUACUUUCUCUAAUUACUCAUCAUGAAGAUCUUAAUUUGAGUCGACACACUUCAAUGUUAUCUAUGAGCUUUUGAAGUGUUGCAAUUGGUAAUGCUUUUGUCAGCAAGUAUGCUAAAUUAUCACUUGACAGUAGGGAUGGCAACGGGGCGGGUUUGGGGUGGGGCGGGGCGGGCGGGUAUGCUACAUUCCCAUACCCGCCCCGUUUAACUUUUUAUUUAAUUUUAAUUUUAAUUUUUUAAAUUACUUUUAAAAUUUUUAAUUAUAUUAAAAUAAAUAUAUUUUAUAAAUAAUUAAAUUAUUUUAUUUUUUAUAACUUAAUUUAUUAAAAAUAAUUUAUUAUUAUCUAUAUAUUAAAAAUAAUAAAAUAAAAAUUAAAUUAAAUUAAUUUUAAAUUUUAAAUUUAAUUUAAUUUUAAUUUUAAUUUUAUAUAUAAUCGGGGCGGGGCAAUACCUGAACCCGCCCUAAACCCGCCCCGAGUUUCAAAAAAAAAUCCCAAACCCGUCUCAUACCCGUCCCAUUGCCAUCCCUAGUUGACAGUGCUCUUCAAGAGCUUAUGAUUGUAGAAGAAUUUGAUGAAAUGCCCUUGGUUUGAUAACCUUUAAUAUAUUAUAUUUUAAUUUGUGGAAUAUAUUCAACAUGAUAUUCAUUUAAUGCUAUUGGAUUGUCUUUGAUAGAGAAUAAUUAACAAGACUCUCAUAUAUCUUGGAUCAUAAAUCUUAACCACACGAGUCUACCAUGCUUCAAGUGCAUCUUACAUUCAUUUGUCAUUAUAAUAAUUAUUUGCCUUAUUAGGAUAUUAAUUAUCUUUAGCACCAAAUAUUUUAUCAUACUUCUAUUGUAUUAGUUAAUUGUCAUGCAAGGACAUCACUUUAUCAUAUUCACUUGUAUAAAAAUUAUCUAAAAAGUUGCAUGUCAUUCUUCUAGAUUGGCUUUCCCAUCCCUAAUAGUGAGAAAAUUGUUUCAUUAAAAUAGAAAUUCUCAAAGCAUGCAUGUCAUACUACCCUUUAGGAGUGUAGAUAAACCAGUCACUAAGAAAUGUCUAAUAUAUAUCCAUAUGAUGUUAACGCAAUGAGUUGAUGUAUAACUAUUCAUCGGGGAUGAAAUGCUUAGUUGUAGGACUGAAACUCAUUAAUUGUCCUUAUAUGUCAUACCUUUAACAAUCAUUUUUAUGGUUUUGCAUAGAUUAUUUUACAAGUAUUUUGUUUUUAAUCAUUUUAUCAAUUUUGAUGGGAAAGUGUAGUCUUCUUUUUGGGAAAACUAUAACAUCCAUAGAUUCAAGAGUUAUUUUAUACCACAAUUCAUAUGAUCACAUUUUUGUCCACUGACACAUUAUGAAAUGGUUACAUUCACUUCUAGUUGGAUAAGACUAGUAAUUUUUCACGAAAAAAUCAUUAUUCUCAUAUGCAUUUAGUUAUAGUGAGCUUUGGGAGGAAUUAUAAUCUUUUGAUGCUUAUAUAUCUCUUUUAUAUUAUUGUAUAGAAUGAAAGUGCUAUUUAAGGCUAUUGAGAUCAUUAUUUUAAGAAUUAAAUUUAUCAAAAAUUCAAUUUUAAUAAAAAAAAAUGUAUAUAAGGGAAUAAUAGAUUAUAACAAAGAUGGGAAGAAUGUCAUGUGAAAGUAUGACGUUCACCCAUAAAAUACUACAUGUGACAAAGCUUAAGCCAAAAAAAUAGGAUAAAAUAAUGUCAACUAGCCAAGAAAUUAAAAUGAAAUCUCCAACAAGUCACUGAUCAUCUUUUAGGUUUGAUUUGGUCAUUGCAAGAGAAAACAAUUUACUAAAAUACAAAAUCCUCUAGGUGUUUAAUAAUUUAGUCAUUGUAGACAUCAUAGUCCAAAAUUUUAAAAUAGCAAAUUUGACAAGCUUAUAAAAGGCCACCUAACUAUGAUCAUGAAAAUUGAAACCGACUAAAAAUAUUUUUAGGGGGAAUAGAUUUGAAUAUUGCACAUGAAGACAAUGCACAAUAAACUAAUAAAUAGAAGCAAUAGAGGCUUGAUAUAGAAUAGUGUUACAGAGAUUAAAAAACUAUCUAUUAAAAAAUAGCAAAUGGAGGAAGCUUACUAACAAGAAUUAAAAUUUCGGUUUUCAUCGGCAAAAUAUCGUCGAUGUAUCAAAUAUCGGUGGUGCCCAACACGAUAUUGGGCACAGAUUAUCGAUCAUUGGGAAUUUUGAAAUUUUUUUAGUAAUAUCGUCGAAAUAUUGACAAUAUAUCGGUUUGGAGGCGAAGUAUCAACGAAAAAAUUGGCAAAAAAUCGCCGAUUUUUUAAUUUUUUUAAUUUUUAAUUUUUGACGAUCCAACGGUUAGAUUUGAAUUUUUGACGAUUCGAUGACCUAGAUUUCACCUGUGUUUUUAUAUUAUCAUUUUAUUUUUAAUUAUUUUUUAUAUUUAUCUCAUUAAUCCUAUCUUUAAAAAUUAUUAUCACUUCACUCUUAAAUAUUUUUUUAUAUUUAUCCUUUCAAUUUUAUUUAAUUUUAAAUGUUUUUAUUUUAAAAUAUUAAAAAUAUAAUUUUACCCAAAAAAAUUGCUACAAUAUAAAAAAUUAAGGAAGUUCUAAUAUUUUAUAAAUUAAAAUUAAUUAUAGUGAGCUUUGGGAAGAAUUAUAAUCUUUUGAUGCUUAUAUAUCUCUUUUAUAUUAUUUUAUAGAAUGAAAGUGCUAUUUAAGGCUAUUGAGAUCAUUAUUUUAAGAAUUAAAUUUAUCAAAAAUUCAAUUUUAAGAUAAAAAAAAUGUAUAUAAGGGAAUAAUAAAUUAUAACAAAGACGGGAAGAAUGUCAUGUGAAAGUAUGAAAAUAGGAUAAAAUAAUGUCAACUAGCCAAGAAAUUAAAAUGAAAUCUCCAACAAGUCACUGAUCAUCUUUUAGGUUUGAUUUGGUCAUUGUAAGAGAAAACAAUUUACUAAAAUACAAAAUCCUCUAGGUGUUUAAUAAUUUAGUCAUUGUAGACAUCAUAGUCCAAAAUUUUAAAAUAACAAAUUUGACAAGCUUAUAAAAGGCCACCUAACUAUGAUCAUGAAAGUUGAAACCGACUAAAAAUAUUUUUAAGGGGAAUAGAUUUGAAUAUUGCACAUGAAGACAAAGCACGAUAAACUAAUAAAUAGAAACAAUAGAGGCUUGAUAUAGAAUAGUGUUACAAAGAUUAAAAAACUAUCUAUUAAAAAAUAGCAAAUGGAGGAAGCUUACUAACAAGGAUUAAAAUUUCGGUUUUCAUCGGCAAAAUAUCAUCGAUAUAUCAAAUAUCGGUGGUGCCCAAUGUGAUAUUGGGCAUCGAUUAUCGAUCGUUGGGAAUUUUGAAAAUUUUUUAGUAAUAUCGUCGAAAUAUUGACAAUAUAUCAGUUUGGAGGCAAAAUAUCAGUGAAAAAAUUGGCAAAAAAUAGCCGAUUUUUUAAUUUUUUUAAUUUUUAAUUUUUGACGAUCCAACGAUUAGAUUUGAAUUUUUGACAAUUCGAUGAUCUAGAUUUCACCUGUGUUUUUAUAUUAUCAUUUUAUUUUUAAUUACUUUUUAUAUUUAUCUCAUUAAUCCUAUUUUUAAAAAUUAUUAUCACUUCACUCUUAAAUAUUUUUUUAUAUUUAUCCUUUCAAUUUUAUUUAAUUUAAAAUUUUUUUACUUUAAAAUAUUAAAAAUAUAAUUUUACCCAAAAAAUUGCUACAAUAUAAAAAAUUAAGGAAGUUCUAACAUUUUAUAAAUUAAAAUUAAUUAUAGUGAGCUUUGGGAAGAAUAUUAAAAAAUAUAGUGAGCUUUGGGAAGAAUUAUAAUCUUUUGAGGCUUAUAUAUCUCUUUUAUAUUAUUGUAUAGAAUGAAAGUGCUAUUUAAGGCUAUUGAGAUCAUUAUUUUAAGAAUUAAAUUUAUCAAAAAUUCAAUUUUAAUAUAAAAAAAUGUAUAUAAGGGAAUAAUAAAUUAUAACAAAGACGGGAAGAAUGUCAUGUGAAAGUAUGACGUUUACCCAUAAAAUACUACAUGUGACAAAGCUUAAGCCAGAAAAAUAGGAUAAAAUAAUGUCAACUAGCCAAGAAAUUAAAAUGAAAUCUCCAACAAGUCACUGAUCAUCUUUUAGGUUUGAUUUGGUCAUUGCAAGAGAAAACAAUUUACUAAAAUACAAAAUCUUCUAGGUGUUUAAUAAUUUAGUCAUUGAAGACAUCAUAGUCCAAAAUUUUAAAAUAACAAAUUUGACAAGCUUAUAAAAGGCCACCUAACUAUGAUCAUGAAAAUUGAAACCGACUAAAAAUAUUUUUAGGGGGAAUGGAUUUGAAUAUUGCACAUGAAGACAAUGCACGAUAAACUAAUAAAUAGAAGCAAUAGAGGCUUGAUAUAGAAUAGUGUUACAGAGAUUAAAAAACUAUCUAUUAAAAAAUAGCAAAUGGAGGAAGCUUACUAACAAGGAUUAAAAUUUCAGUUUUCAUCUGCAAAAUAUCGUCGAUAUAUCAAAUAUCAAUGGUGCCCAACACGAUAUUGGGCAUCCAUUAUCAAUCAUUGGGAAUUUUGAAAAAUUGUUAGUAAUAUCAUUGAAAUAUUGACAAUAUAUCGGUUUGGAGGCAAAAUAUUAGUGAAAAAAUUGGCAAAAAAUAGCCAAUUUUUUAAUUUUUUUAAUUUUUAAUUUUUGACGAUCCAACGGUUAGAUUUGAAUUUUUGACAAUUCGAUGACCUAGAUUUCACCUGUGUUUUUAUAUUAUCAUUUUAUUUUUAAUUACUUUUUAUAUUUAUCUCAUUAAUCCUAUUUUAAAAAAUUAUUAUCACUUCACUCUUAAAUAUUUUUUUAUAUUUAUCCUUUCAAUUUUAUUUAAUUUUAAAUGUUUUAUUUUAAAAUAUUAAAAAUAUAAUUUUACCCAAAAAAAUUGCUACAAUAUAAAAAAUUAAGGAAGUUCUAAUAUUUUAUAAAUUAAAAUUAAUUUGAUAAGAUAAAUUAUUAAUAAUUUUAAUGAUUUAAAUAAAUUAAUGUUAAUAGAAAAAGUUGUUACCACAUAUUUUUAAUAAAAUUUUAGAUAUUAAAUCUCAAAUAAAAUAUUUUAUAUAAAUUAAUUUAUUUUUUCAUUUAAAAUGUAAUAAAACAUGUUUUAAUAAAAAUAUUUUAAAAUUUUUAAUAUAAGGCCUCAUUCAUCUAAUAAUAUGAUAGAUCCACAUCCAUCUUCAUUUUGGUACUAAGGACUAUUAUAAUGUCAUAUGUAUUAUAUUUAUGUAUAAACUAUUCUUAUUCAAUAAAAGCAAACAUUUCUUAAUUCAAUUCUAACUUUCUAAGUGUACACUUCCAAAAUUCAUAUUUAUUAUUCUUAAAAUCCAAGUAUCAAAUCUACUGAUAUAUCUCUAUUUACCAAUAUUUUUCUUCUUGACCAUAUCUAUGUCAAUUACACUUAUAAAAUAACUUAAAAAUGUGUAUUCUUGCUUAUUUUAUCAUUUUUUUUUUAGUUUUUCCAAGUAUUCCUAUAAAUUUUGAAUAAUAUUCAUUGCACCGAUAUUUUUUAUAUAUCCGUAAAAUCGAAGUACUGAUAUAUCCGUAAUUACCGAUAUUUUCAUCAUUACUUACUAGCAACUUCCUUUCAUGUUCCAACAACUCUGAAAGCUUCCAUACCUAGCCGAGCAUUUUUUGAGUUUUGAUUUUUUUCAUUACAUGGAAAAAAUAUUGUACCAAAAAAAUAAAAGUCUUUUAGGUGGGUUUAACUUAAUAGUCGUUGACAUCAUAGUUCAAAAUUUUUUUAAAUAGCAAAUUUGACAAGUGUACAGAAUACCACUUAACCAUAAAAAUAUUCAAGAGGGGCUUGAUUAAAAUAUUGCAUAUGAAGACAAUUUACUAUAAUCUAAUAAAGUAAGAAUAGCAUUGACUUAAUAAUAACCUAAAAAUAAAAAAGAAACUAUAUAUUAAAAAAUAGGAAAUCAAACAAGUUUAUUAUUAGCAACCUCCUUCCAACAACUAAGGAAGUUUCCACAACUAAUUGAGAAUCUUUUGGCUUUUAUUUGGUAGAAAAUAAUACACAAGAACAAACAUUUCUUAGUUAGGUUUAAUUUAAUCAUUGUCAAUGGCUCUUAGAGUGCAUGAUAUAUAUUAUGAGGUCUAAUCUUAUAAGCUUAAAUAUCUAUUAGAGCACAUGAUAUUCAUUUUCUUCUCCCUUACAAUAGCCUCCAUUUUUUGGUUUACAUGUGGGCUUUAUGGAUUGAGUAAAUAAACAUGUUGUGGUGAGGUUCAAACUAUUGACCUUCCAACAACAAAGGCUCUAGGUAAUACCAAUUCUUGGAUCAGGAUUUGAUCAUCUUAAUCUUAUAAUCUUUAGUUUUUCUACUAAUGUUGGACUAUUAGAAAAAGUAUAAUUAUGUCAACAUGACGAGGAACAAAUAAAUAAGAAUGUUAUUAUGUUGUACUCUUUUUUUUCUUUGCUCAAGUUUUAUUUCAUUGGGCUUUGCUGACAUGGUUUUUAAUAAGAUAAUUUUUGUUGUAUAAAAAUAUUAAAAUAAUAUUAUACUCUUUUUCUUUUACUCAAGUUUUUUCCAUUGGGUUUUCCCUACUAAGGUUUUGUAAGAUGUUCUAAAAUGGUUAGCAUCCAAUGGUGUGUAUUCUAAUUAGGUGCAAAAAUUUGUAGAUGUUACCAUUUCUCAUAAUAUAUGUUUUUGAUAUCCAUGUAAACUUCAUAAUUAGUAUAAAAGUAUUUAUUGUAACAUUAUAAUACUAAAAUACUUUGGUUAGUUUCAAUUUAAGACAAUCUUUUGUGAGCCUAUCAAAUUUACUAUUUUUAAAUUUUUUGAUUAUGACAUUGUUAGACUACAUGAUAUACAUAAUAUGAUUUGGGAUUAUUAGAUCCGACUUUGACUAUCUCGUUUGAAAUCUAAUUGGUAUAUAGUGAUGAUAGGCUAAGUCUUUUAUUGCAUUCGACUACCAUCAUUUAAGUGAUUCAUCUACCAAGCUUAAGAACGACAUUGUUACACCCCAAUAAUCCCCCCCCCCCCCCUAACAUGAUGCUCUUGUGGCUCAAACCUAUGACCUUGACUUUGACACCAAUGUUGAAUAUCGAUUUUUCUAAAAGCUUAAAUUUAUAAGAUUUGGGCUCACAAUGUAUAUUAUGCACUCUAAUAGAGACACUUCAAUGUUGGCUAUAAGCCUCUAGAGUGUUGUAGUUGACAACACUUUUGAAAAGAAUUUGAUGAAAUAUGCUUUGUUUUAUAAUAUUUAAUAUAUAAUGCAAUUUAUUCAAUAUGGUAUUCAUUUGCUACCAUUGGAUUUUCUUUGAUAGAGGAUAAUUUAGAACAGUCUCAAAUAUGUUUGAUCAUAAAUAUUAACAACUCACAUUCACAACUUGCUUCAUGAAUCAUGUUAUUUUGGAAUGAUUUGAGGAGGUGGCUACAAUUCAUUGCUUGACCAAAUUUCCAUAAUCAAUAUAUGUUUGAUCUUGUUCUAAUGCCUUCGAGUUGGAAUAGGAACUAUACAUCUUGCUAGUACAUUAAUUUGUACAAUUUGCAAGAUAUAUCAUUAUGUUAAUUGCAUUGAGAUAUGAUACUUUUGGACCAAACACUUCCAUUUUCUUCUUUGGAUGAAAUGUAUCUUUAUUUACUUCAAGUGAACAAAUAACUAUAUUAAAGCUAAAUGAGUGUCAUUUAUCCACAGGAAAGUAUUUUAAGACUUUUUGUAUAUAUGUCAACUGAUGGACUAACACACCUCUUAGAAAAUAAUUGAUCUAUAAGUUUAGAUAAAAUUUUGGUUUUCCAAUAUCCUUCAUUUUCUUAUGAACUCUAUUAAACCAAAGUUUGAUUAUUAUUGAUUUUGAUAAUAACAAAAUAAGGUUUGAAACUAAUGAUUGAUCCUAAGUGUGUUUAGGUAAGAAGAUUUCUAAAGAAGCAAUUAAAGAUAUAUAAAAACUAAGUGACAUCAAAAAGAAAGAGAAAGGACUUAAAAAGAAGAAGAAUGAAAACCUAUUCUCAAUAUCUUUUUAUAAGGUUGUAAGUGCACUAGGUUCAUAUUGCAUUACAACUUUAUUUAAGAACUUAAAAUUAUCCAAGUGCCUAAUUGGUUUCAUUCCUUUAUAAAUUGAAUGAAGAAUCUUUCUAGAUGAGAACCAUUUUUGUUUAGUGAUAUUCAUAGUUAAAAUGGUUUUCGAAAUGACAAGGAAUUAUCUAGCCAAUUUCCCUAAGGAUUUUGUGAUAAAGUUGCAAAACCUAUAGAACUCAUUUAUGUAUUUUUGUGAAUGAUUUUUAUUAACAAAGUUCCCAAUAUCUCAAGAAAGAUUCAAGUAUUGAAUCUAGUUAAUUGAAGACCUGCAUCCCUUCAAUGAGGUUAAGGUGUAUUUAUAACAACUAAUACUCAAUCAUGUAGAUAUUAUCCGUUUUGGACCCAAAAGGACCCUCACAACUUUAAAACGCAUCUACAAGGUUAAGAAAAGUUCAUACAUAUAUAACCCCACUAACUUUCUCCCUUAUCCGAUGUGAAAUAUCACAAACACCCUAUAUGUAGACACAAUGUCCUCAUUGGGUUCCAUGGGAUUAUGGGGACAAACAAACAAACACCCCUUAUGGGGCCAAACAAACCCCAACAAACCCCAACAUCAAGGUUGAGAAUUGACUUUAAUACCAUUUGUAAUGACUUGCACCCAACUGUGUAGAUAUUGUCCACUUUAGGCUCAAAUGAGCCCUUAUGGCUUUAAAAUGCAUUUAUAAAAUUAGAGGAGUUCAUACAGUGUUAAGAACUUUCUCCCCUAUUCAAUGUGGGAUAUCCAAACACCAUUCAUCAUUCUCUCCUCAUGUAGACAUAACAUCCUCAUUAUGCCCAUGAGAUUACGAAGCCAAAUAAACAAAACACCCCUUUAGGUUAAAUAGCUGACAAUCUCUACACGGGUGUGAGUCAUUAUAAAUGAUAUCAAAGUCAAUCAUUGACCUCGAUGUAGGGGUUUGUUUGGCCUCGUAAUCCCAUGGGACACAACAAAGAUGUUAAUGUGUCUAGAUGGGGGUGUUUGUGAUAUCCCACAUCAAAUAAGGGAGAAAGUUAUUGGUACUAUAUAUGUAUGAACUCCUCUUAAUCUUGUAGAUGUGUUUUAAAGUCGUGAGGGUUAAGUCAUUACAGAUGGUAUUAAAGUCGAUCCUCGACCCCAAUGUGGAGGUUUAUUUGGUCCUAUGAGGGGUGUUUGUAAUAUCCCACAUUGGAUGAGAGAGAAAAUUACUUAGACUAUAUAUGUAUGAACUCCUCUUAACUUUGUAGACGUGUUUUAAAGUUAUGAGAACCUCUUUAUACAUAGAGCGGACAAUAUCCACACCUUAUAGUAUUCACUUAACUAAUAGGAAGUUGUUGCGUCGUGUACUUGAAUCAAAUUGUAAAUACUAAAGAGUAAGUCUUUAUGGUAAAACUACUAGGUAAAUUUGUGUAAUUUGAUCUCAUAUAAUGGAUUUAGAUUAGUGGUCUUAGGCCUCAUGGUUUUUUUUUUUAUCUCCACAAUUAGUGUCAGGAUUUUCCACAUAAAAAUUUCUAUGUCUCACGACGUAUUUUGUGAUUUUGUGGUUACUUUGAUCAUAUAAAUUAUCCUUGAUAUAUUGCAAGUUUAAUUGGGUUUCAAAACUAUUCUCCCUAUUUAAAUUUAGGUUAAUAAAUUUCAUUCCUUAUAUUAUAUUUUUUUUAAAUACUUCAACCUCUAUAGGUGUUAUCCUACUGGACUUAGGUUUUUCAAAGAAUAAUAACAUAAAAGAAAUAAAGUGGAAUUAUAUGAAAAUUAUGAAUAACAUUAAUUUGAAACGAUUUUUCAAUUGAUAAUUUAAAAUUUCAAAUAAUAAAAUAAAUUUGAAAAAUAAUUUUAAAUUGACAAUUUUAAAAGAAGAAUUUUUCCAAAUCUUUUAAGAAAUUUAGAAAGGAAUUUAAAUUGGAAUUUAAAAAUGAAAAUCUUUUCAAAUCUCUUUGAUUUUUUAAAAAGAAAAUAUUUCCAAAAUUCUCUAAGUAUUUGAAACUAACCUCUUUUUUUUUUUUUUUUUUUUUUUUUUUUCUAAAAUACGAUUUCUAAAUUGAUUCUAAGUCAACUAGUUUUUCUUUAGUAUAAAUAUGUCUUUUAGGAGAGUUCUAAGAACUCACACACCUAAGCUUUAAGUCAUUAUUCUUUGUGCUUAACCCGAAACUCUCAAAGGUGUUUGUUUUCAUUCUUGGAUUCAUGAGAAAGAUUUGCAUUCCCUUAAGUUGUUGAGGAGUCCACUAAGGAGCACAGUUGUGUUGCAUGUAGAUGAGAAAUUAGGUGUAGGUUCAAAGGUGUAAGUAAGUCUCAGGAAGUAGUAACCAUCAAGUAAAUUUAUGUACCUAGUCUUCAUAUUUAGUAUAUUACAACUCUAUGGUCUCUUGACCCUAAAGUUUUUAUUUUCACAAAGUCUUUGGAAGACUUAGUGGGUGAUUUUGUAAAUUGUUGUCUUCUUAUGUAAUUAUAUUUCUCUACUUCAUAUGUAAUUCUUGAAAAGGAAUUUAAAAAUAAAAAGUUAGGUUAAAAAGAAAGAACUAUCUAUUCAAUGCCCUUUAGGUAGGUUCAUAACAAGACCUAUAACUUUCAAUUGGUAUCAUAGUUAGAAAAAAAAUAUAUAAAAAUCAAAAUUUUCUUCAAUUCCUAUCUUUGAUAUUGUUUUCACGGAAUUUAAAGAAAAAAAUAUUUACUUUUGGCUUGUAAAUUUUUUUUCUUAGUCGGGAAAGAUUGCAUAAAGAAUAUAAAUGGUUGGAUAAAAAACUCAAGUAACAAGAACUCGUAUGUGAGUAUUUAUCUCUUGAAUAAAAAAAGGCAGCAUGAAAUAGUUGCUAAUUUGAAUAAAAAAAUGAUCACUUUCCAAUAAAGUUGCCUUCUUUGAAAAAGAAAAUCAUUGGUGUCAUAAAAGUAAAAAAUCAUUGACUCUUGAAAUAAAUAAUUGCAAGAGAGAAUUAUCUUGUAGGAAAAAAAUUAGUCGGUCCAAAGAAACAUAAGAAAGUCAAGAAAGUGACUUGGAGUUAGUCCAAGUCAAGUGAAAGUAAAUCAUGGAAUUUUGGUGAGAAUAGCAAUCAAAAUGACUACUUUGUAUUGGUUGCACCUGUUUGAAUAUGAUAAUAAUUCUUUUAAUGAUAGAAAUUUUGAUGAUAGUGUAUGUGUGUUUGGUGAUACUGAUGAAGCCUAUCAAAGCUAGUCUUUUGAAUGAAUGCAUCAAAUUAAAGAAAGAAAGAAAGCAUGCUAGUGAAUGAUAAAUAAUCUAUUGAGAUAUUUGCUUUAAAUGAUUCACUUAAAGAUAAGAAUAUUGUUUCGAAAAGAGAAAGAAAACUUACUUGAAAAAAUUAGAUUUCUAGAGAAUUAACAUAGUUGCUUGGUUGAGAGAAAAAACAAAGUUAAAUUCUAGAAAUUGAAAAACUCAAGAAAAACUUGGCCUCAAAAAAUGAAAAUUUGCAUUUAGGAACUAAAAUGUUUAAUGAAAUCAUUAGAAAAGGGAAAUUCAAUGGAGAUAAGGGAUAUCUUGGUGAGUCAUAUGCAAUGUUUGGUUUAGUUUACCUUGUAGUUGCUAAUGUGGGUGCUAGCAACUAAGUGGGAGUGUUUGAAGUAGGAUGAAUGGAAUUCCAAUGUUCCAAAUCAGUUGAUUACCAACGAUGAUUGGAGCUUAUAUGUGAAGCUACAUUUAUCCCUCUUAGCUUAGGCUUUUGAGAGUAUAUAUGGUCCCAAAUCACCAGAUCAUGAAGACAACAUUUUGGGAUCUAAGAAUUCCCUCAUAGUAGUUGGGGAUAAAGCUUUUGGGCAAACCCCAAAGCAGGAGAUAGUCUGAGGAAUUUUCAGCUACCAUCCUCGUGUAUUCUUUACUAUUCUCAGGCUCUCUUAGUAAUUUUCAUUGCAUUGUUCAUGUGUAAUUAGUUUUUGAAGAUUUUAAUAUAGAUGCCUAUAGUUUUGUAUAGAUUUUGAGCACUUUGGACUUCAAUUUAAUGGUUUUUUUGAAUUGCAAGUUCUGACCUUAUUCUCUUUGUUCUUUAUCAUGUGUGACCAAUAGUUCUUCAAAGUUAAGGAGGGUGGUCCGUGAAGUCCCUUCAGGAACAAUUAAUGCACCUCACGGGAUGAAUUGAUAUUGUCUUCACCUUGUAAUCGAAGCCUCCCAAACCCAUUUUGCUCUUUGGAAUGGAAACUUAGAAGUUGCUUUUAAGGUAUUUUAUGUGCUGAGGGUCGUAACUGUCUUUGAACUUUGAAGUUUAGGCUAGAAUUGAAGAAAAAUGUGAGCAAAAACACAAAAAUACAAAGAAAAAAAAUUGAACAUUAAUAAAUUAUGUUUAUAUGCUACUUCAAAUUCAUUCAGUUUUAUUUUUUUUAUUUAUUAUUUUAUAUAAAAAUUAAAUAAAUUAAAAAUCCAUAAAUUUUUAAUUAAUUCUAAUUACAUUUGAUUGUUUUCUUUUUUUGUACUUUUUCAAACAAAACCAAAUAGUAGGAAAUCAUUUUUCUUUAAUACUAUUUUCUUUUUCUUUAAUAUUUUCUGGGAAUUAAUAUAGUCUUAAAUCUGACAUUGGCAUUAGGAUGAAAAUAAGGUUGUUAAAAUGAUAGAAAGGUUAAGGUUGCAAAGGCAGAGCUACAAGUAAAUGUUUAUCUGUUGGAGGCUCUAAGUUGUGUAUUGGCCGUGAAAGGAGGAACUUCAUUAGACCCCCUUUUGUUGGAAUGUUAAGUUUAUUCGGUGUUUACAUAGCUGUAAAUAAUUUUUUUUCUCGCUUUUUUUUAACCAAAUAUUUCCCAGGUCUUCCAAUAUCUCAAUAUCUCCUUAUUAAACAAUCCUCUUUCAACCACAACACAAUUUAAAGAGAAAAUCAGCACCACUUUGGGACAUCAUGCCUGUGAAAGACUCCCUGUACUUGAGGAAUCAACACAGUCAGCAUUCAGGGCUCAAGUAUUCUUUUCAUUUUAGGCUUUUAGAGUAACAAACCCAUGGUGUGCCAGUAAAUGGAAAAAUUGGAGAUGAUUACAGCAUACAGAGACAACAUAAAAAUGAACUAAAAUCAAUUAAAUAAACAAAAUUUCAAAUUCAAAUAUAAAGCACUCAGUAUAUUGGGCUCAAUAUUAGAAACUAGAAAAGAUCCUAAGGAAAAAUGAACUCAGAUAAAAGAUUUACAUACAAACAAGUCGAAAAGGACCCAAAAAAUAAACAUCAUUGAAGUACUACUCCAAGAGAUAUAUUAAUACAUAAUAAGUCAUCUAUUAAUGUUUAGAAAACAAAUACACUUGAGGAAGGUUUAGAAGCCAUGAGUGCUAUGAUCUCAUGUUUGGGUUUGAAUUAAAGCUUCAACAAUCACCCAUGAUAACAAUGAUGGAGAAUUUUGAAUCCACCAUUCCUUUAUCAAUCAACAUCCUCUUAAUCCAUACAUUCCCUUUUUUACUUUCCAUGUUUCAGUAAUGCAUUUUAAGGCAACACCUAUUUCAGCAAGGAAAGAUCAAUGGAAACUGAGAGACUGUAGCAGUCAUUCUUGUGCUCCUCAUUCCCUUCUCUCUUUGAGGUUGCUUGCUUUUCAAGAAAAUUUCAUUCAAGUUUUCAACCAAAAUUUUUAAUGGAUUUUCUUGAGAAAGAAUGGGAUGAUUCUUCAUUCAUUCAUAUCUCAAUUUUGAAUCUAUUUGGGUUUGUGUAAAAACAAAUGUUCUUCUUGUGUGAAUUCAAGAAGAACCCGAGAUUGAACUUGAUGUGGACUCCAAGUGUGCUUUGGAAGAAGAAGGUGAGAAGUUGAAAGUGAAAGGUAUUAGUAAGGAUUGGUAGGUUUGAACUAAGUAAAAUCUUGUAUUCAGUUUUUAUUCUUCAUAGUGGACAUUUUUUAUUGGUUGUUGGCCCGUGGUUUUUUACCUAUUCGGAGGUUUUCCACGUUAAAAUUUGGUCUCAUUGUCUCUCAUUCUCCUCUUCAUUUCAAUUUCAAUUUUAGCUAUCUUUGAUAUUUUGGACGUUUAAUUUUUGGUUGAAUGUUGAGGUAAAAUAUAUAUGAGUUACCUUUAAUGUUAUUGUUAGCCCAAGGGUUCUCCUAAUCGGGUUUUGAUGAUAACAAACCAUGGCUAAGUAACUAAUUGGUUUAAUGUUUAAGAAUCUCAGGUAUAAACUCGAAAAUUCAUCAAAUGACCAAAUGGAUACAAGAUCGAGACGCUUGGAAGACUUGAGAUCAUAGGAAAUGAAUGUAAGAUGAUAGCAUGAGUGCACUUAGGAUGUUCAUACCUUUUCAUGCAUCUUAGAAAACUCGGUUUAUUCUUUAAAACUUGAUUUUCUUUAAAACCCGAGUUUUAUCAAACAUACCUUAGGCAAAUUGAUUCAAAAGUGGCAUAUUAACUCACCUAAAGACCUUGCCUAAGUAUUGGAAAAGAAAGAAAUAAAAAAGGAUAGGUUUUCGGAGCCAAAAGGCUCAACCGGUCGAGGCUAAGGCCAACCGGUCAACCGGUUGAGUAACCGGUCGACCAGCUGAGGUCGUCCGGUCGAGGAUCGGACGAGGAAGGUUAAAAACAUUUUCUCUCUCCCAGUAGCCUUCUUUUCCCGGUCGAGGUGAUUCCUUUACCGGUCGAGGACUGGUCGAGGUCCGGUUGAGGCAACGGUAACCUGUCAUACAUUAAAUGCUCCAACAGCUAGUGAACCGGUCGACCCCUAGCUCGACCGGACGAGGCUGCCUUUUGCUGUUUUUGACUCCCGAGUUUAGAAACCUAUAAAUUGAGAGCUCCACUUCAUUCAUGACCAAGAGAACAAUUGCAUUCAAAGCCUACCUACCUGUUCUUGAUCAAAAAGCUUUCAUUUCUUUCUUAGUGCAUUAAAACCAUCACUUGCAUAUUCUUAGUGCACUAUUGUAAAUCAUCCUAGCUUUCUCUUAUACUUGAGUCAUCCUUAAGCUAGGUUGAGAGUUUCAUCUUUGUGUAAACUGAGUGUGAAAGCCUUCAAGUGGUUCAAAUCUUAAAGAGAUUGUGUAAGAGCCCAUUGGAGCCGGAAUCCAAGUGUAAGAAGAUUGAAAGCUUGAUUGAAGCUUCAAGAUUAGUGGAACCCUCACUCGGUUAGGAGAUUGAGGAGAGUGGACGUAGGUAAGAAAACGCCGAACCACUAUAAAACCGAGUUUGAAUUCUCUAACUUUAUCUCUUUCCUUUAUUUAUUUUGUGCAUAUAUUAUUAUGUGGAAAAAGAUUUUGAAAAACCCAAUUCACCCCCCCUUUUGGGUAUUUUCUUUAAUUAUUCAUAGCCUUUGUUUUAUCAGUUAUUUUUUAAUAUUAUUCAUAGGUAGGUAUAUUUGAGAUAUUUUGCUCUUGUUAUUAAUAAAAAAUUGUUCUAAGUUUUUGUGUUGAGAAGUGUUGGAACAUAUGCAUAUGAAUUGCAUUUUAUUCUUGUUGGGGAGUGUUGUUGCAUUCAUAUUUGUAUGUGAUUUCUAAUUUGUGUUUUUAAGUGUUUGUAAAGACAAGGAACAAUUGUAAAAAUUGUUAAGGUUAGUUACUUGUAUUGAGAGGCUUUUAAAUUGGACAAAAACACCUAUUCCACCUCCCCUUUAGGUGUAUUCUAUAAUUGACAUUUACUUGUUAUAGUAAAAUUAUUACAUUUUAAUUAUUAUUUGAGUAAAAAAAGAAAUAGCUUCUAAAUUCCUUACAAGACUUUUAAAAAUAUUUUUAAAAUUGCCUACAAGUUCGAAUACUCUAAAUAAUUAUAGAAUUAACAAAAACAUUGAUGGAUAGAAAUUUUAUGAAUUCAAAUUUAAUGAGAAAAAUUAUUACUUUUCAAGUUAAAAAUAAAUGAAUAUAAAUUAAUAAUAAAAUAAAAGAUUAUCAUAUGAUACUAAAAAAUUGUUUUUAGGUGUCAUUCAUAUUAUAACAUAUUACAAAUCAACAAAAUAAUCUUAUUUCUUUGUAUAUUGUUACACAUAUCAGCCAAUAAAGAAUAAAAUAAUCUAAUUUCUUUUCUCUCUUGUUAUACAUAUCAAUCACUCGUAUUUGAAUUUUGUUAUGCUACUCAUGCAUUUUGAACCUUAGAAUUUUCUUUAAAUAAAACAAAAACAAAAAAUAUGAACAAAAGAGAUAUUUUCAUUUAAUCUUGUAACAUUGCCCCAUUGAUGACAUGUAACAAUCAACUGGCGCAUAACAGUCAUUUACUUAUGGCGGCUUACUGCCUGGCCAAGUUUUGGUCAAGUGGGACCACUUUGACCAGCUUUAUUUGGAUUGCCUACCUAAUUAUCUUAAUGUUUGGGUACCCACAUAACCUAUAAUUGAAAUUUCAUGAAAUUAUUUAUUAGAAGAACACAUUAACAUAUCCCAUUAAAGCUUCAUGAAAUAUAUUUCCAACGUAAUUACUUGAAUCACAUUUAUAGAUCACAGAAAACAUUUGUCACACGAGAAGUUCUUUAGAAUGGUGAUUAAUUUUUACUUCUAAAAUAGUCUAAGAACUAGAGAUGGAGGUAUCAUUGGACUGUUAUGACUGGCAAGCUUUGAUGUCCUACUUCGACUUUUCACAUUGAUGUGCCCUAUUCGAGUCUCUCUCUUGGUGCUACACCUGCCAUGGUAUUGUGUCCAUGGCUCACCAAGUCAUCUCCUUGCGCAAGGUAUUGAGCCCUUGUGCCACCUUGCUAUAGUCCUAGAUCACUCAUGAGGCCUUAGUGUCGGAUGGUCCUUGUCAAGGGCUAACAUAGUCAAAUCCUUCUGAAGUUACAAGAAAUGCCUGUGGCAUAUAUGUGAAUAGAACAUAUCAAAUAUCAUAUCAAUAUAAUUUUUUUCUAUACAAUUAUAUUUAGAGUCUGGUUAACCUAAAAGUUUUUUUUUAAAAAAAAUUAGUGUUAAACAAAAUUUAGGAAACACUUCUAAAAAUUUGAAAAAUUACUUAGUAAUGUUUUCUAAAGAAACACUUGAUAGGUAAUUUUCAUUAAAAAAAACACUUUCAGAGAAAAUACUUCACUAAAAAUACUUUAAGUAAAAAUACUGUUAAACACACUCUUACAGUCUUAUUAUGUUUUAUUAAAACAAUAUGGUAGUGCCCAUAUGAAGAAGAUGAAGCUAAUUAAAAAUAGAUGCUCAAAAUGAAUUUUAAACAUUUUACAAUUCAUCGAAAUUUCAGAAAUACAUGGACUUACAGAAAGGCUCUUCAUGAGAAGAUAUUCCACAUUCUCUACGGAAAGUUUGGUGCCCUCUGCAAUGAUAUUCAAUGGAAUGGUACCAUCUUCUGAAGGACGGCUGCAAGAUAAAAUAUCUCAGUUGAAUUUAGCAAUAACUUUCUGAAUCUUGCCCAGCAAUCACACGUAAAAUGAUAUUGUUAACAUACAUGAAGAUGAUAUCCAUCAAGCUGAGAAUGAUUUCUAGUAGAUUCUUCUAAUUCUGAACCAAUGUCGGUUGAGAACUCAGUAGCAUUAUGGACACGACAUAAUUCUUGAUAGCAGAGUAAAUCAUCAUAGUUGGAUGCCUGGAGUAUCUAGUAGAGCCGCUCAACCUUUUUCCCCUAGAGACUUUCUAUCUGUAGGAGUUGGUAAAACAUUUGGCUCCAAUGAAGACAUUGUGCAGUUCUCUUUUGGUAAAUCAUCAGGCGCAAUAGCUCGCUGGGCCUAGGGAUGAUUGCUGCAGAAUUCUUAACGGAUUAGAAUUGGAGCAUCCAGUCAACACCAAAGGAUUAAAUAUGAUAAAGCUCAAAAUUACACCAUUACUCAAAGCCUGUAAAAUACACUUGACCCAACAGCUGCAGGAAAUACUGAGAGGGUUGUUUCUGGAAUAAGGUUGAGCUGAAGGUGUUUUAUGACUCUAUUGGACCAUCAUCUCCAAGGAGGCCAAAUAUGUGGAGGUUCCGUUCCAUUGAUCCCAUAGCCAAGUAUUUUGCACCUAUCUAGACCAAAUUUUACUCAAGUUGCUUUGCCUGCAUGCAGGACUAGAAGAAGUCAUAUUGAAGAUUGUAAUGGAAGAAUGAUAAGACAGCAAGAUAAAUGUGACACAAGUUUGCAAGAAAAUGAGACAAAACCUGUGCCAGACAAAAUAGUGAAAGUUUUGAUUCAGUUCCACUCCGAUUUUACAUUGGCAACUUGGUAAAAACUCUGCAAAACCAGAAGCCUUAAUACCAAUUUCCAGUUAAGCAUAAGAAGUUCUAAGGUUUCAUUAAAAACCCACCUAUUGUAAUCUUUCAAAAUACAUGAAAGGAAAUGAACUUGCAUAUAACAGGAUAGUUUAACAACUUCAAAAACUAGGUUUUAGAGAACUGCCAUCUGAAAAUAUUUUAAAGAUAGGCAUAUGUAAAUUAAUCAUAACGGCUAGUAUCAGAAAAAAGAAAAACCAAUUUAACAAAAAAAAAAAAGGCUAGCUAAAUAAAUUUAUAUUGCUUGCCAUUGCAAAGGUCUAUCAUGGAGGAAAUUACAAGCUGCCACAUGAACCACAAAAGAAAAGUACCUUGCAAAUUUUAGAAUUUACUUGAGACACAAUUUGACACUGAAUAUUCAUUUUCUAGAGAAGUUCCCACCAAUUUUGAGGCUAUCUUCCACACAACUUCUGAAUUUCUUUUGGUCAGAAACCAAUUGUUUGGGCUAUAGGACUGACAUGUUUUCAGUAGAAUGUGAAGAAUAUGCACAACUAUAUUACAUGAAGGUGGAUUGAACUUACUUUCCACCAACAUAAGGAAUGCCCUUCCUUGAAUUGGCAGGAAUCUCACCUUGAAACCCAGGCAUAAUUUGUCAUUUCCUGCACAAUUUUGGGAUCAUCAGUGUAGCUCUUGUAGCAUCAACCCCACGUUGGAUCUCUGCAUACAUAUUAUAUAUAGAGGGGUCCAAGAUUAGAAUAGUUUGAGAGCCAUAUGUCAUUUCAUUAAUACCAAAAUUUUAUUCAAAUGAUUUUCAAUAGUACACCACAAUACAGGAUGCCAAGGCAUAUGUACAACAAGUAGCUCUAACUUCAAGGGCAAUUGUAGGAUGACAUAAUCAGCCAAGUAAUGAUCAAACAUCCUCUGCAAUAAAAUACUUAACCUAAGUUAGAGUAUUUUGAGAAUAGGAAGAGUGAUACACCAAAUUCCCUUUCAAUGAAAUAGAAUAUGAAGAUCAAGAAAAGUAAUUACCAUUACUGUCAGUAUAUUUCAGAGUAUUUAGAUUCCCAUGCUCAAGAAAAUUUAGAACAGUGGGGAAACCAAAUUUUCUUAUGAUUUAGUACUACGUGUGCUCCUCACCAAAGUGUUAGUAUUCUACCGUAUAUGAGAACAAACUAAAAAAGCUCAGAAUUGUGGAGAAAAAAAUUAUAUAAAGGGCAGCAAUAAAUUAAUAAUCCAAAAACUAAAAGCACAGAGAGAGAGAGAGAGAGGAAUUAUAGACCUCAAUAAUGAAGAGAUUAUAGACAACAGACAAAAAUGAAAGAAAACAUAUAGGUUUAGGAGAACGAUGAAAUUAAAAAAAAAAAAAUUAAUUAAAGUGAGCUCUCUUUCCAUAUGCAUCAACCAUUAAUAAGCCAUACACAUUUAUCUCUCGAAUAUUGAACCAAUGAGUAAGUUCUCAACAUUAUCUAAACUUUGGACAGAAAACACGGCAACUUAUGAUUUAUUGGAAAAUGAUUAGUCAUUAAUGAUAACAAGCAUGAAAUAAAUUUCAAAACUAACCUAAUUAUUCAACAAACAUGCACAGUGAACUUAAAUAACAUUAUUAAUCUUUCCAAAAGUAAUUGGUUGGCUUAAUUAUAAGUACAUUCAUCCAAAAAUAUUAAAUUAACUCACAAUUCAAAACCAUGGAGAAGGUUUGCCUAACAUGGAAUCUAUUUAAGAUUUCAUAUCUUCAGUAAACUACUUUUGCAUCAGAAAAACAAAAAUAGAGGGCAACAAUUUUGGAAGACCAACAGUAUAAUGAUAAAAAAAUGGUCAAAAAAAAUGGAGGGAUUGCACUCCUGAAAAAUAUUAUAGAUGACAUGCUUGAAUGAAAGAGCAUAGUAGUCCUCUUGACAUCUUUCAAUAAGUAUAACAUUCUGAUUUUCAUGUAUACAUUAUCAAGUAUGGAUAUAAUGUCACUUACUCUGGCAAUGGUACUCCCUUUCAAAGUACUUUUUCAAACUAUUGAGUCUGGCUACUUCAGAUAUGAGAAGAAUAGUGCUACCUUCAAUGGUCAAUGCAAACCAUUUAGGUUCCCAAGCUUGAGAAGCUUCAAAGAUGGGAAUUAACCAAACUCAUGUUUUACUGAUUCAGCAGUAUAUGCUGCUCACUCAACUCUCAGCUAUAGACUACACAUGGGAAUAAAAAAAUCAACAUUGCAAGCAAAGUAGAACACUUUUUUAACAAACUGAUUGAGAAGUAAUAAACAAUAAAGGGAUCAAAAGCAUAAACCUGAAUAGAAAGAAUGAUUGUGACCAGUAACAAAAACUGAGGGCUAAGGUUGGUGAUGCAAUUGAGAUAACCCUUUUCAUAUUCAUCAGCCAUCCAUAACUGGCCAACAUUUGUCUCUGGAACAUUGAAGGGCUCAAACAGCAUAACUGUGUUGUCACGGUGGCUCAAGCACUCACAAAUAGCAUGGAAAACAAUUCUCUUUUGCUUGUGUACCCAACUGUACAAUUAAAAAUGAAAGAAAAGGCAGAAGUAGAGGAAAUAUUAAUUUAUCAGUGUCUAUCUCCAGCCUAUUAAUGAUGAAUAUUACCAGAAUAAUGCAAUAUUUGUAACUGACGGGUUCUAAAACAAUAAACAUGAACCGAAAAAAGUAGGAAGAGAGAUUGGCAGUGAAAACCUGGAAUUGUGGAAGACUCACUCGAACUAAAAGAGACCAGUGAGUCCUUCAUGCACCAGCCAUCUAUUACUUGUCAAUAUAAAUUUGUCAUUUUCCUUUUGGCAUCUUCUCCUUAUGUAUUAAGAGAUUUUGAGGCUGUGUAGAGUGCCAAUGGAUCGUUACCUUCCAGUGGUGUCAAGCCACCAAUCCAUAUGGUUAUGAGGCUUCCCUUUGAAUUGUGUGCCACUGUCAUCAUCCUCAUUCUCAAACAGAUGUUCUUCUUAGCGGCUGUGACAUGCGGAAUAUGUUGAGACAAAGACAUUGUUCUCUGCACAGACAGUUUACAGUCUUGGAGAGAAGGGAGGUGUCACAGUCCCACCUCUAGCAGAGAUAUUUGGAGACUUACAUGAAGGCAAGGCCAAUGUGAACUCCAAUCAGCUUUAGUUCCUCACUAUUUUGAAGAUGCAAAAUUUUCAAAAACUUAGUGAUCUAUGUAUUUAUUUGAACAUAUAGACAGUAACUUAUAAAAAUUGAAGCUGUUAAAAGCAGGACAGAACAUUGGAUUGCAAACCUGAAAUAUGUUGUAGAUGACAAGCUUCAAUUGAAGAACAGAAAUCCUAUUAAAUCAGGUACCAUUGCUAGUCAAUAUCAAUUUCAGGAAAGUUGAAGUGUUGAGUGAUGCAUUCCUUCUGGCAGUGAUUCCCAUUCUGGGCCAACAGCAUUUUCAAGCUCAUUAAGAGAUGUCAAGCUGUCUUCUAGUCUAGUAAAGUUACAAAACAAGAGAAAUGGAUGAUUUUAAGGAUUUCCAUGAUGUUCACAUUUCCAAGCUCCAAUAACGGAGGCAUCAACUUAGUAUUCGACAAAAAAGUCUCUCUGUAACAUUUAUUCCACCUCUCAAAGGUGAUUAAAUAUUGCAUCCACUGAUAGAGAUGUCCAAGCCCCACCAUUAUCCCUUUUUACAUUGAAUUUACACCAAUUACAUCUGCAAGAAAAUAGUUAACCUGAGAAACUUCCAAACACAAAUAGCAAGAUCAUUUUAGCAAAACAGAACUAGCAAUUGAUAUCUUUAAAGAUACAUUUUUCAAACUUUAUUAACUACAAGCAUGCUUUCAGGCCACAAAGGUUCAACUAAAUUAUAAUAUCAAUGGAACAUUUUUUUUUCUCUAUGCUAACCCUAUCAAUGGUUGACAUAAUAAUCAAGUGUUUUUGUCUAUGUUGUGCUUUGGUUCAAGUGAUAUUUAGAAAAUAGUAUUAAAACAUAGAAAUAUCCUACUAUUUUGUCUAUGCUAAUACAUACACACAGCAUAGAGAAGACAAGGAAUGUAGAAAAUCAAUGAUGAUGCAGUCAUCAAUAGUGGGAGAAGGAUUACCUAAAUUGAAAAGGAAGCAAAAUUCCUUUCUGCAUGAAUCAUCUAAGAGUAUAAAUUUUUGGGCCAUGUGAAAUCUUAGGUAAAUUCAAGACUGAUCUUCUUUGGGCUUUAGGCCAAUGAAUAAUCUUGAGUUUCGAGUUUGCAAGAAAGUAACUAAAUCAACCCUAGCAUUUUCCAAAAAUCUUAGGAUGUAAAAAUUAAAGUAACAUGAUUACAUUGGUUCUUAAUUACCAAUUAAGAACUUGUCUAAUUGUACAUUGAUUGGAAGAUGCAACAUUUUCAUACUUAGUGAGAUCUAAGCAUUUUCCCAAAU
RNAcentral lists this long non-coding RNA (59015 nucleotides) under Vitis vinifera (wine grape). Its description in RNAcentral is "long non-coding RNA (VVIN_LNC006705)". The record is from RNAcentral. Lineage: Eukaryota; Viridiplantae; Streptophyta; Magnoliopsida; Vitales; Vitaceae.